UGGCCGGACGGCGGCAGUUGGCGGCUGGACAGUCCGGCAGUGGGAGGAGAGCACGGGAGAGAGAAGGAAGGGAAAAGAGAGAAGAAGAGAAAGAGAGAAAAUGGGUUGGGCCUCCCAACCGGUCCAACCUAUAUCAACCCACUUCAAAAAAAUAAAAACACCCCGAAAAAUAAUACCCGAAUAAAAAUUACCUUUUACUAGCUAAAAUUUACUAUUUUUACCGUCGUCGUAUUUUCCUCAUACGAAUAAUCCUCCGCACAUAAUCGUCCCCGAAACCCCUCUAGGGACCAAUUAAACUAUUUACUCAAUGAUCGAGACGGUAAAAUUCUUAUUAUAAUCACGCUAGUAAAUAAGGUAAAAAUAUAAGGGUCGGGAUGUGACAACUACCCCAUCGGCAUGGGACCAAGUGUCAUUUUACAAGAGGGAAGAUACGAUCAGUUGCCAUCAUAAUAUACCUUUCAUAAUCAAUGUCCAAGUGGAUCACUACAGGUGUCAUCGGGCCCUUGUAGACACCGGAGUUGCGGUCAGUGUGAUGUUUGCCGAUUGUUAUAGAGGACUCCGGCGUGACCGAGCUAAGUUAUAUAGCAACCAUGAUCCCCUUGUAAGCUUCUCGGGAGAGAUUGUGCAGCCCUUAGGUUCAGAACGCUUGACAGUUUCAGUAGGAACCAGUCCAUGCCGUACCUCCAUCACGGUACGUUUUCUCAUAGUUGAUUGCCCCUCAUCCUACAACCUCAUCCUGGGUCGUGACAUCCUCUGGGGACUACAAUGCUUCAUUGCAGGUCACUUGCUACUCAUGAAAGUGCCUACUCCGGGAGGCAUACUCAUAAUCCAAGGGGAUAGAGCUGCCAUUGAACAUUGUCAUCUUAAUGCCAUCCAACAAGGACGCAGCGCCUAUGAGAUGUUGCCACUUAGCCCCUCGGAACCCAUUGAUGACCCCAGGGAUGACCCUGAAGGGAAAGACAAGAAGAAGCAAGCCCCGAGACCUAACCCGGCAGAGGACACAUAAUGGGUAUCCCUGUCACCCAGUGCUCCCGAGAGGAAAGUCCGCAUCGGCACGAGCCUUAACCCGGAAUUCCGCCAAAAGCUCAUUGCCUUCUUCCAAGAUAAGCAAGCAGUCUUUGCUUGGUCCUAUGCCGACAUGCCAGGCAUCUCCCCUGAUGUCAUCACACACAAACUUAACAUCCUCAAAGACUAUUCCCCUGUUAAGCAAAAACGGUGUGCCUUUAACCCGGAGAAGUAUCGAGCUAUCCAGGCCGAGGUCCGGCGGUUAAAAGAAAUCAAAUUCAUACAUGAGGUCUCAUACCCAACAUGGGUUUCCAAUGUGGUCAUGGUCCCCAAGCCCAAUGGCAAGUGGCGAAUGUGUGUCGAUUACACUAACCUCAACAAGGCAUGCCCCAUGGACAGCUUCCCUUUGCCACAGAUUGACCAGCUGGUUGAUUCCACAGCCGGUUUCAAGAUGCUCAGCUUUCUAGAUGCCUACUCGGGAUAUAACCAAAUCAAAAUGCAGCCCACAGAUCAAGACCACACCACUUUUGUUACGGACAAGGGACUGUAUUGUUACGAGGUCAUGCCUUUUGGCCUCAAGAACGCGGGAGCAACCUAUCAGAGGCUGGUCAAUGCCAUGUUUGAAGAGAAAAUUGGGGAAGUCAUGGAAGUCUACGUGGAUGACAUGUUAGUCAAAAGCAAGGCAGAUGACGACCACAUUGCCAACCUAGACAAAGUCUUCACUAAGCUCCUGGCUCACGGGAUGCGCCCCAACCCCCAAAAGUGUAUCUUGGCUGUUAGUGGCAGAAAGUUUUUGGGUUUCAUGGUCAGUGAAAGAGGCAUUGAAGCUAACCCAGAAAAAGUACAAGCCAUACUUGACAUGACGGUCCCAAGGACUCGGAAUAAGGUCCAAUGCCUCACGGGACGCUUGGUAGCCUUGGCUCGUUUCAUCUCCCACCUCACAGACAAAUGCAACCCAUUCUUCCAACUGCUAAAAACUCAAUACAAGGAGAAUGUGGCAUGGGGCCCAGAACACGACGAUGCCUUCAACAAUAUCAAAGCCUACCUUGUAGCGGUCCCCUUUCUCUCCAAGCCUGUCCCGGGAGAAGUACUUUACUUGUAUUUGACUGUUUCCGCCACGACCAUCAGCGCUGCUCUCACACGCCAUGACCAUGACAAUGAACUCCCCGUCUACUAUUGUGGUAGAGGGUUUGCGGAUCCCGAGACCCGCUACCCUGAUAUUGAGAAACUAGCUUUAGCCCUCAUCACUGCGGCAAGAAAACUCAGACAAUACUUCCAAGCUCACACCAUCCAUGUCCUAACCAAUCACCCUCUGCAGCAAAUACUCCAAAAGCCUGAAACUUUAGGGCGCAUGGUAAAAUGGGCAAUUGAAUUGGGAAAAUUUGACCUACAUUUCAAGCCAAGAACAGCCAUAAAAGGGUAGGCCGCUGCGGAUUUCAUUGCCGAGUUCAUCCCAUUGGCCCCAGGCAAUCUAGACCCGGAAACCCUCCCCCGGGACGCCAUUUGGGAACUCCAUGUUGAUGGAUCCUCCAACAACAGGCUCAGUGGAGCAGGGAUAAUAAUUAUAGACCCAGAGGGGAAUUCGUAUGAAUAUGCUCUUCGAUUUGAAUUCAAGGCAUCUAACAACAUAGCUGAAUACGAGGCUCUCAUAACCGGCAUUCAGCUCUGUCGAGAACUCGGCGCCCUGCACAUCCACAUAUUCAGUGAUUCCCAGCUUGUAGUCAAUCAGGUGGUAGGAGACUUCAAAGCCAACCAGAAAAACCUGGGAUCCUACAAAAGUCUAGCUGGCGCCCUCCUCCAACACUUCACAUCUUACAAACUCACACAAAUACCAAGAGCCAAGAACUCCAAGGCAGACGCUCUCGCGCGACUCGCCACAGCCCCUCCCAAGUCCACGCCACCAGAUGUGCACAUAGAAGUCUUGGACAAGCCUAGUAUCUCCAAGGCUUAUUCAGAAAUCUUUGUCCUCGAAGCGCCUAGCCAGCCCUCGUGGAUGGACCCAUAUGUGGCCUUCCUUUCUAAUGGUACCUUGCCCCGAGACAAGCACGAGGCGCAGCGGUUACGCCACAAAGCUUCACUCUACCUACUUAGAGGCAAGAAGUUAUACCGCCGUGGUCAGUCGUGUCCCUUUUUGAGAUGCUUACCUACAGAAGAAGGGCAUAAAGUGUUGAAAUCACUCCACAGUGGUGUUUGUGGAAACCAUGCAGGAGCUCGGAACCUCAUGUUUAAAGCACUAAGAGCUGGAUACUAUUGGCCAACAUUAGAACAAGAUGCAAAGGCAGUUGCCCAAGUAUGCCUUCACUACCACAAAUUUGCUAAUUUUGCCCACCAUCCCCCAGUUCCACUAUCUGUCAUCAUUUCCCCAAUCCCUUUCAGCCACUGGGGCCUCGACUUCGUGGGACGGCUACCCACAGCCCCGGGACAACUCAAAUUUGCAAUUGUCAUUGUGGACUAUAACACGAAGUGGAUAGAGGUAGAACCUCUUGCCACAAUCACAACUGAAAAGGUGAUAAACUUCCUAUGGCGUAAUUUAUAUUGCCGGUUUGGAGUACCACAAGCAAUCAUCACAGAUAAUGGGACACAAUUUGACAAUGACACAUUCAGAGAAUUCCUCUAUGAGCAAGGCAUUGCAAUCUUCUAUGCCUCCCCAACACACCCUCAGACUAAUGGCCAGGUGGAAGCCAUAAACAAGUUUAUCAAGCAAAACCUGAAGAAACGCCUAGAAGAUGCUAAAGGGUUAUGGGCUGUCAAGCUCCCAGAAGUCCUCUGGACAAUUCGUACCACCCCAACAACAGCCACAGGGGAAUCCCCAUACCUCUUGUCCUUUGGCACCGAGGCAGUGAUCCUUGUGGAAAUGGAGGUCCCGAGUGAACGUAUCACAACAUACGAUCCCAAGACAAACGCCACGGGGCUACGACUCAACAUGGACCUCCUCGAGGAACGCCGAGACAGAGCACAUCUCAGAAAUGUCAACAACAAACAAAAGAUUGCUCGACACUACAACAAGAAAGUAGUUCCCUGCCCUCUAAAGGUAGGUGACUGGGUCAUGAAAGAGGUCAUUCCCCACCCCACUAGACUCAAGGCAAAGUGGGAAGGCCCACUGGAGAUAGUCAAUGCCCCGGGGCCAGCUACAUUCUAUCUCCGCGACACUGAUAGCCGAGUCCUACCUCUCCCCUGGAAUGCUCGCCACCUCCACCUCCACCUCCACCUCUACCCUAUUUAAAUUAUCAGCACUCCAAAGACAACAUGGCAGCUAGCACUUCAUUACUUUUGUAUACUUUAGCCCGAUAGCAGCCCAAAUCAUAUGUACACCUUGCCCAUCAGCGGCCAAUCCUAAAUGAAGAUGUUGUAUUCUCUUUUUUAACAUACCGUCCCAAGAACACGGAAUAAAAUCACAACAAGGGGUGAACCACGUAAAACAACAUUCUUUAAGUACACAAAUGUCAAACUGGACUCCAAGGCAAUUCAUAAAUAACAAAUUGUUAAAUGGCUAACCACGCCACCAUCAUUGUUUCACAAGCAAACAAAACAAGACAAACUAAGAUAAACAUCACAAAAACAACAAGUUAAAGAACUUCAUCAUUUCUCCCCAGAGGAUGCGCCACUUGACUUGUUCACACUCUCGCCACUCUUUGAACCACUGCCACGACCACGGCUCUGGCUGAUAUUCACUAAAACCCUCUGCCCAUACGCCUGCUUAGAAUGGUCACGAGAUGCCAGGGGAGGUCUCAAGGAAACACUAGGACGCACUAGAGUGCUCGCCUGUUACACUUCGGUGACAGGGGACUUGCUCGCUGGCGUCUUCUGCAAUUCAAUACGAGGCGCCGCCACCGGCCUCGGUGCUCGAGGGAUAAGGGGUUCAAUAACAGACGACGCCACCUGAGACACUGCCACUUGCGCGGAAGGGGAUCCCUCGGGACGUGGAGCCCUUAGGGGAGAAGCAACCAUCGCAAGCGGCCGAGGCAUGCCCACAACAGGAACUUCUUUGGGCGCCGUAGAGGAGGUGGCACGCCAGGUCUCACACUGCUUUGCCAGCGACCGCGAGAUAUCGGCUUGCUUCCUCUGUUCCGGGGUCAUCUGCUCCCAAGCCUUCCUCGCUGCAUCCCUCCUGGCAUAAAACUUGCGCAUAGCGGCCUCAUUAAUCCAGCCAGCUUGGCACCCAGUCUUGCUCAGCUCAUCUUGUCCCUGGUUAUAAGCACUCUUCAGCUGCUGCUUAUACAAAUCGCUAUCCCGGAACACCCUCUCCCCAGCCCCAGCAGCUCUUGCACACUUUAACUUCCACGCCUUCUCUUGCUCUGCCAAGGCAUGGUUCAACCUCGCCACCUUAGCUUCCAAAGAAACCACCUUGGCGACAGCCACCUCCCCAGCCUCCACUUGCUUGUCCUUCUCUUACAUAACUUCUUUCAGCUCAGCAACCUCCUUCCCAGAUACAGCAGCCCGAUCUCAGAAGACAUCAACAUCCUGCUCCACUUGCUCCAGACGCUACGAGAGGGCAUGGUUGUUCUCCUCUGUCUCCCUUUAGCUGCUGACAUUUAGCCUCCGCAUCCCCUUGCAAGUGGUUAAUAGCCCUCUCACUUGCAGCGUUGCUUGCAGAUACGAGCCAGAGCAUAAGAAAAAAAUACAGACAUUGAAAAAGAGCAAAUUGAACAUUAUGUACUCUCACCCGAGUCAACUUCUCCUUGGCGAGAGCCACACCGGCCAAGGGAUCAACCUCCUCUAGGGCAUUAAUGUCACGAGCGCGGUGCCACAUGUCAUAUGCCAUUUGUGCCAAGUAAGGCUGCACCUCCCCUGUCCCCUCCAAUGCCUGGGUGAUCUCAGCCAAGCUCCCGGAAUGCCCUUCCCUCUGGGAUUAUUUUGGUUGACCCUCACGAGACGACUCCACCCUCUCUUUCCUCUUCCGAGUCUUUGUCACAACAACCUCCCCGGAUUCUUGCCCUAGGGGUUCCACUUCCUCCACCACAAGGUCCUCGCCACCAGUUCGGAGCUCGCCCAUGUUAUCCAAAGAUGUGUCUUCCACUCCAACUGGCUCCAGGACAAGCUCUUCCUCAACCGGAACUUGCUCAUGAUAAUCCCCGUGGUCGCCACCCUUGGUUUCCGUCUCCUCGUCGUUCACUUCUUGGUCACCCAAGCCCAUUACUUCUGCCACCAAGGGAGGCACAUAGGUAUAAUCCUCAUCCGCCAGAUUCAACCUUAUAAAGUCAUCUUCACCCUCGCCAAGCUCCACCUCUUUCCCUUCACUAGUCUCCAAGUCGAUGUCAUAUCGCUUGGCAUGAGUAGCCUCGGCAAGCAACCCAUCCAGCACAUCCUCGUCAGAGACCUUGUCGUAAGGAUCUUCCUUCUUUCGCGACCCAUCGUCCCGCGGCAUUGUCACUGCACCAGAUAGAAAGUGAGGAUCAAAAAAAAAAAAAAAAAAAAAAGACAUAACCCGUGAAACCAUUCAAAGCAAAAUCAGACCCGGGACCCGGGCAUAACCGAAAUGACUAUAUAUGCCGAGAUGGCAUAUCCGGUACGAACUCCUACACUUGAAUGCCCACAACACCCGACGUAUCCGACGCUCCAUCAGCUCGGUUAAUUUAUAUUCUUGGGGCACUACACAAAGUCAACAGUCAGCAGGGGCAGAACAGUACAAACAACAAGAAAACACAAGACACAAAACACGGUACCUAUUUUUUGGAAGGCCCUGGGAACUCAGAAGGGAUGUCCAUGCCACUCUUGCCAUUGCCCCCCAACAAGGAAACACUUCCGUCGCUAACUCUCGUUCGUCGAGGUGGGCAAGUCUUCCACCAGGAUCUUGAACUUCCCCCGAGACUUUAACGUAACACAACCCCGGCUGCCCUUCUUCGCACAAUACACCAUGUGCCAGCACGCGUUGAACUCCUCGAAAUUGGGGAACUCUUGCCCCAGCAGACGGAAUAAUACCCCUAUCCCCAAUAUUUGCCUCAACAUAUUCGGGGUAACUUGCCCUGGGGCGACAUGCAAACACGCUAGAGUGUACUGCACGAAAGGGGGCAGCGGGAACAUCAACCCGCACCUUAGUUGGUACUUGUAUAUCAAGGUGAAGUUGUCCUGCGGAUCAAAAACUUAACACCCUUGCCGAGAGGCCACAAUAAGACCUCAUCGGGAAUACCCCAGUUCUGCCUAAGAGCUUUUAACUCUGACGACGUCAUACUCUCGCCAGGAGGAUCCCAGAACGAGUCGUCAUCUUCCCGAGAUCUCGCCAUGCUAAACUUUUCUACCUCCUGCAAGAGAGGGUCAGACGAGGAGACGUGAGACCCAGCAUCCGUAAUAGAAUUCCCUCCCCUAAGUCAAGUGCAACCUCCGCCAUAAGAUAAUUCACUUCCUCCUCCCACCGGUGCAAGGUGUCCGAAUCAAGAUCAGUCGAGGUAGAGACAACCACAAUCUCCUCGUUGGACACCCACACCAAAUCUGUCAUACCCUACAUCCUCACAUGUUAGACUCUCGCUACCUUAACCCUAACUAACCUGACAGCAAACCACCAAUCCCUUACUGUAGACUCUCCUAGCAAAAUCACAAAUGAUGCAAAAACCACAGCAUAACCCUACCGAUUCGACACAAAACAGAAGUAGAACCCAAAGAAGGAAUUGACAAGUUCAUACCUCGAAAACUUGGAUAUGUGUAGUGGCAGUGAAGCUGGUUGCAAACAGCCGAGCGCUUACACUCGAUCGAUCGAGGAUGGAAUUGGACAUUCCCCAGGUUCGAUUCCACAGAUCGGCGAAACCCCUCUCUGGAAAAUCGCAAACCACUCUUUUAGCCCUAGUCCCUCUGUUUUCGAAAUGCAAACUCCCUCCUCCUGUUUUCUCCAGGCCUAUUUAUAGGCAUCCAAAUUAACCUCGACCGUCUAGAUCUCCCCCAUCUCAAUGGUCAGGGAAUAGCCACGUCGACCAUGAUCAAGCGACGCAUUCAAGACGUGCCCCACGAUCCCACGCACGCACGUCAGUUACGCGCACGUUACAAAAAAAAAAACCAACGAAACCGUUACGACCCUAAAACUCGUCAUAAAUGACCACGUGUUCCUCAUAAACUGGCCAUUUAUGACACACAUGAGAUAUGACGCAAAAGUUCGUAUCGAGUUCUCGGAACUCAACCCUAGCCUCCUCGCAACUCUCGCGUGAGGACUUAGGGACUAGGCACCAUGCCUCCAACUCCCGGUUAAGACACAUUCUCGGCACAAUUUGGGAAUAACUCCCCACCCAAGAGCUCUCUUGGACUGGGGACUUGGGAACUUGUUAAUACACAGCCAAAACACUUGGCCAUGCCGAGAAUAUGAUGUCAUUACCCAAUCACCGGAGAUCAUUCCGGCCAAGGCACCACCAACAAGACCUCCUUGAGCAACCAAAGAGUGGAGGCAUAACAGUAAUACACAUGCUAGACCCACUUAGUAACUGCUAAACACCCCCGAAAGGGAAGAGACUGAAGAACACCAUGAAACAGUCCCACAUCAGGAACUAAUGACAAAACCUCCAAUACUAGCCUAUAAAACAGGCACAAAUUCCCAACAGAGGUAAGUUUACUACUACUCCCAUACUCACGUACUAUACAAGUAGCAAUCAAACGCUGACUUAAGCAUCGGAGAGUCGAAGAUUGGGCCACCCCAAUCCCGACUCCUGACGCAUUGUUGCUUGUGCAGUUACAGGACCCGGAGCAAAGGAUUCGACCUCCCGUCCUGUGAUCCCGGGAGAGGUAGAAACAUAGGUAUAUACUCUCGCCUAUCCACAAUCGCUCAAGAAGAAGAAAAUCAAGACUCGAACGCAGCAAAGAAUCCAAGUUGCACUACCUCAACGUAUUGGCACGCCGCGCAGAAGAAGUGUUCGAGAAAAUCCAGGUUCACCCCGAACAAAUUAAGCCUAAACUCUACGACUUAGAGAGUGAAUGUCAAUUCCGGAGUUUUUGCAAGAUUCUUCUCCAACUUGGACCCUGCCAGCUUUGUUUCUUUUAGUUACCUUGAGAUAAUCUUGUUUUAGGGCAUCCAUUGGAGGGAGGUUUCUUUCCACAACCUUGAUACUCUUUGCUCUCUGGGACUUGGCCAAAGAUAUCUUGACCUUCUCCUUCUCUAGCUAGUUUAUUCAGCUCUUCAUCACAUUACCAAGAUAAAAUUUUGGCGUUGCUCAAAAAUUGCUUUGUUUUGUGAAAGCCUUCUCCAACAGGGAGUGUCGUUGAAUACAUUCAUUCGCCACUCUUGCAGCUGCACCGGAGGCCUCAAGGACAGCAGGGAAAUCUGCGAUUUUUGCUUCCAAUUCUUCCAAACCACUAACCUCAUCUUCAGUAGCUUGCAGCUUAAGGAAGAUGAUGUACUCAAAAGCUUUCUUCACAGUAUCUCUCCAAACUUGCAUUAGAUAAUCCACUAAGAAAGUGUCUUGCACAUUUUCAGAUGCAACAAGUAUCUCUAAAAGUAACUGUUGAAAGCCCUGUAAACCGGUCAUGUAACUGUUUAUAUAACUAGCAAUGUAAAUACUAUUUAUCUGAUUUGGACAUGGAACUAGCAAUGUAAAGUUCAAAGUAACUACCUUUUUUUUUAUAUAUAAAAUUGUUAAUAUUUGCAGUGUACCGCUGCACCACAACGCCAUCGUUUCGCUGCAAAGUAAUGAACUUACUAAUUGUUUAUGUAACUGUUACAAAGCAUAUAUAACUAGUCAUGUAACCGUUGAAAGCCAUGUAACUGUUUAUGUAAGUAGCAAUGUAACUACCACUUAUUUGUUAUGGACAUGUAACUGAUAGGGAAACUAGAAUGUAACUACGAAUUGAAGUAACUGACAAUAUAACUAGCCAUGUAACUGUUGAAAAUGAUGUAGCUGGUCAUGUAACUAGCCAUUUUUGGACAUGUAACUGACAAUGUAACUAUUUAAAGUCAUGUAACUGGUUAUGUAACUACCAAUGUAACUACCACUUAUUUGUUCAUUAGUUAUCAAUGAACUAAAAAGAGGGAGUAAAGGCGAGGUAGUGUUGGCGAAAAUGGACUGGAGGUUGAUGAUGAUAUGUAACAGUUAAAAUGGAUGGACUGGAGGUUGACGAUGAUAUGUAAUAGUUAAAAUGGAUACGUAACUAUCCAUGUAAUUAUUGAAAACCAUGUAACUGGAAAUAUAACUAGCAAUGUAACUAUCUUUUACAUGACAUGAACAUGUAACUGUUGUUGUAACUAUUAAAAUGGAUAAAUAGCUAUCCAUGUAACUACUGAAUGUCAUGUAACUGGCAAUGUAACAACCUUUUAUUUGACAUGGACUUGUUGUUGCAACUGCUAAAUUAAUAUGUACUUAUGUAGCUAUUGAUGUAACAACUGAAGGUCAUGUAACUAGCAUUUAGUAAUACUAUUUUGUUGAUAUUUGCAAUGUGUCAUGAACAUGUAACUGGCAAUAUGUAACUAUCCGUGUACUGACUAAGCUUAAGUAACUGAUCAUGUAACAUACAAUAACUACUUAAGUAUCAGGAAGAACAAGCAGAAAUUCAUGAUUGUUUGUAAAGAUCCAAACAUACCAUAUAGAUUUAUGGUGCAUGCUCUGAGAUUACACGAAAUGUGAUUUCCUCGCAGGUCCAAACAUACCAUAUAGAUUUAUAUCACAUAUACAUGAGUUUGUAAAGAUCCAAUUGACAUUGAAGAAAACAGUGAUGAUCAACCUAUAGAUGCACGCUUCAUAUAAAUAAACUCGUGAUUGUGUAAUCGAUGCAAUUCAUUUGACUCGAGCGAUCUGCUCGACGUAACAAUUGUUCCCAGUGAAUGAACAGGCUUACAUUUACAUACCCUAUCUCUCAAAGAAUGAAGAAAACAAGAAAUACACUCAUAAUAGGAAUAAAGAAGAAACGAAUAUAACUCUCAGUAAGCUAACACACACCAACGCACAUAUAUACAGGCAAAUGAUGAUGAGACUAACGCGCGCACUGUAACAAUCUUGUACAUGGAAGCUUGAGACAGAAAUGUAAUCAAUCAAUUGAGAUGUAGGCUGGAGUUUGAAUUUUGUUGGUAACUGGGGGAAUGCAGGUCCCUGGAUGAAGGAGAGAGCUCACCACCGGCAGGUAAGUCGGCAAGAGUGGCGAGCAUGCGACGAAUACUUACAGAUCGAGCUGGUUUGAAGCUAUGGGAUCUCAUCAUGUUGGAUUUGGAGGAGAAGAUGUUUGAUGACUUGGAAAGGAUGAGAUACACCAAACCCUGAACCAGGAAAAACAGGGCUAUCUUCACCAACGUAUCUGCUAAGCUCAAUUCCAUGGUGUAGAUCGAGAUAAUGAAUAUGAUCGGUAGUUCUGCUAGCUAGUUAUCUGCUUCCAGAUCGAUGAACAAUUAGUAAUGGAGAUGGACAUGCCUAUAUAUGUGUAUAUUUAUAGGGAAUUAAGGGGUGUGCGUGGAUGAUGAAUGAGUUAGCCAACCUGUUUGACUUGCCGUAACACAAGUCUAGAAUUGGUCGCGUUCGUGGCAAUUACAUGCUGUGUUGACCAAACUAAACAUGUUAAGCAGUUGAGACUUGAAACUUGAAACUUGAAAUGUCAAGCAGAAGAAGAGGGAACUGGGACUGGGUCAAACCAAGUAGUCCUUGAUUCUUAUCCAAUACAUGUAGAUCCAUGGCGAUCAUCAUCACUAACCUAAUCCAAUUGCAUGCAUAUUGAGUGAUUAGGACGUGUUUGUCCGAUUGAUUCAUUUCACGUGUAGAAAUGACCGGGAUAUAAUAAGCGCUAGACGACUUGUUGAAAUGACCAAGCAGAUUAGUUGCGCAGCCUGCCUGCCUUGCCUUUUGGCCUUCUUUUACUAUACAGAUCGGAGUCUGGGGCCGGCCGGAUUUUUCAACCAUUAGUUUCUUUCUCUUGCUUCCACGGCAAGUCUUAAUCAGUUAAUCUCCUCAGAUAUCAACGUGUAUCUAACUCAACCCAACUCACCUCACCUCGAUGAUCACCAGCUAAAAUCAAUUCUCACAUUCUAUCGUACACAACUGAACAACUAGUAGUCAAAUCCUACUUGGACAUCUCUAUUAUCAUAAUAAUAAUAACAUCACCCCGGCAAAAAAAAAUAUGUUAUUUGGAUUCUAGAUGGAAUCCGCACAGCUGCGACUUUUCAGUUUCACAACAAAUAUAUCGUUGCCUGUGUCAGUGUGUCAAAUACAUGUUACAUCAUGGAAGAGUAUUCCGAUCAAAGGUUUACUGCUAAAGUGAACAGAGAAGUUGAGAACACUCUGAUUCCACAUAAACCACAGACGUAGACAAGCCUUCUAUGAAUUAACUGAUGCUGGAGGCGAAGAAGGUAAAUAGAUUACUUGAACCCCCGGCUCUAAAAAGGAGUGGGAGAGGGAGAAGGUGGGAAUAAUGCACAAUUGACGUUCAUGAGAUCUGUGUUAUUGACUUGCUGAACCAACCAAAAAGGUAAACAAGAAAAAGUGGAACCACUCGCUGCAGAAUUACACUCCAGUUUUUGUAUAAGAACUUUCAGAUUCAUCCAAAACCAUUUUACUGUAACCCACCUGCUGUCAAGAUAUUAGAAUAGAUGUAUUAGUCCAGAUCCAAAUAAUCACAAGCCUUAAUUAUUUGGUAUUUUGUAUUUAAAAGACGAAACAAGCUAGUUAAGAAACAUGACUUUCCAGUUGACAGAGCAUUGUAACCACCCUGGUCAUCAGAAAUCAGGAAUAUGCCAUGCCAAAGCUAGGUCAGAUAUUGUAACUUGCAUCCCAAACAAUUUCAUCAACGUGUUGUAAUCGCAAUGAAAACAUCUAUAAACCAUUGAUUAACAAAUUAUGGUAUUUCUUUUCAAAGGGUUACUUUGGUUACAAUCAGUUAUUUGCUAAGGUACCAUUUAAGACUACGCCUGUUUCCACAGAACAAGAGCAAAACAGAAAUCUGUUUAUCUUUAAAGUAGUCCCAAAUUUGCAUGAAUAAGAUUGCAGUUUGUAGCUUGUAGGAAUCUUCAAUUCAAAUCCCACACAAAACUAGGCUGACCUGGUGGUAACCAUCAAAUUCAUCCCAGGAUGGCUAUAAUAUAAAUAUAUACAGACCUGAAUGAAUGAUAUGAAAUAGUUCACUGCCCUCAGGUCUGCUAGAAGCAAAAUGUGAAAGCAAAGCAUUUUAUGAAUCAUGAUGUAUUGUAUAACUACCCAGUUCCUCAAAAGUGAAUGUUAGGAAACUCCUGAAGCAAGCCUAUAUCAAUUCCAAAGGAUGGUAACCCUUUCCCUAAGCAAGCCAAAUCCUUUUUCAUUCCUUUUACCUUUUUGACAACAUUAGACUAGAAAAGUGAUAACUUGACUAGAUGCAAGAUCUCUUAGGAUUGUAGGUGGCUAGUCAUGUCUUGUCUGUAAUUAGAUACUGAAAUUAGAUCCAGAAACCACAAACCUCACUCUUAAACAGGUACUUGACGUUUAAAGACAGACACAUGUAAGUAGUAUAAGUUAAGCCACGUAACGUUGAAUUUGUGAUGCAUUUGUGAUGGUAAAACUUCAAAACUACUAGAAAGCAUCAUUUACGCCUAAUUGUUCUGUAAGGUAGUCAGGGCCAGUAUAGUUCUCUUGUUCUGUUUCAACAAACAAACGCCUUUUUUCUCAUUAAAAAUCUCUACGGGCUGUCAAGUAACACGAAAGGAUCAUGAAUGUAUACUUGGUAAGAAUCUACCAUUUACUGAAGAAAACAGAUACAAUGCCGAGACUCCUGAUGCAAACCUGGAUUCAUAGUACAGGCAAUUGUUGUUUACCUGAACCAUUAUACUAAUGCUGUCAUAUCGAAAUGUAAUAAUCUGAGUAAAAUCCUGGAACCUAGCGAGCUAUAAAACAAGAAAGCUGAGCUGUGAUUGAUAAUUUUCUCCUACAUUUCAAAGAAUGAAGAAAGUGGGAAGGAAAACAAACCGUUGCGGUGGUCGUGGAGUUGAAGACGGUAAUGGACAAGACGUUGAAGUCGGUGUUGGGAGUCUGGAGGGUGGUCGACGUCGGUGGGGAGCUGAAAGCGGCAGAGGGGGCAUGAACUGCGGGAAGAAAGCCAAGGGAGGAUGCAGUCAGGAUGGUACACGUGGCUGCAAGCCAGCUGCUUAGCCUCCGCAUCCUCCGCAAAUUGCUCCUUACAAACAGCGCACACCGUCAUUGAACGUGACGUCAUCUUCACGGUCGGGAUGACGUCUACGUAGGCCUUGGAAGCCGGCAGUAAGUAGACAUUAGCGGGCGGGGGCGGAAGGACGUCGGCGGCGGACAGAUGGUGGAUCAGGCGGCGGAGGAGUGGGCUGUUGAGGCGGUCUGCUUCUGGAGCAUGAGUGGAGUAGUCCAUGAGCUCCAGGAGGUCGCUGAAGCAGUGUGGACAGGCGACGGUCGUCGCCGGCAGAGUCACGCUCAUGUCGCACACGUGGCACCAGAACGUCAGCUGAUCAUGAACAAUCUCCAUCUCCAUCUCCAUCCAAUAUGAAUUGGAAAUUGGAAUUAUUUCUUGCCACACUCACCAGAACAGGUGAGGCCAGGGCCCUUGCAAAUUUGGGGAUUGAGAGCCAAGACGUAAUUAUAGAUUCCUUAUUAUCAUUUUUUUGACUGCUCUUGUUUUCUUUUCUUUUUUUCUUUUUUUACUGCGCUUGAUGGAUGUGAAUAUAUGGUGAAAUGCCACUGUUCCCAUUUUCUCACUCCCAAGUCUCCUCCUCCCUCCUCUAUCUAGAGGUUGCAGUUGCAGUUGCAGCAGGCUUCAACUGCAAUCUUCUCAUACUGUCUGUUAGAUCGAAUCAUCUUCUUUUUUAGAGUCUUUUUUUUAACUCAACUUGAAGAGAACGUCAGCUGAUCAUGAUAAACUUGCAUACGCUAAACAUGUGUAUCCAAGCAAUCAUAUUCUCAUAUAUGUCACAAGAGCAGUGUAAAUGUAAUAGUAACCGUAGUUGUAACCAGUGAUAUAAUAUGAUCAAUCACCUAAGAAAGGUGAUUCGCUUAACAGUACUUCGAUUAACCGAGGUGUCAAAAACUCAAAAAUUAACAAACAAACUCUCAAGACCUGUAACAAAUACCAGAUCAAUAUGAGCACAUGUGUCAGAACUAAGAUUAGAAGUCAAAAGCGACUCGGGUCCCAAGUGUUGAUCAAAAUUCCACCAAGCCAAAAUCAAGGCUGCCAAAUAUGAAAAAGAAAACCCCAACCUCAAAGAGGUGAGAGAAAAUCUUACGUGCAACGGUCGUGCCACGUCGACGGUGUGACCCACCAGUCACAGGCUGACACAUUUUUUUUUUCCUAGCUCUUCUUCUUCCUCCCUUCCUCUUCUCCGGCGAAACCGAUCCCCUCCGGCGAAAAAAACAUGGCAGGUUCUUUCCCUCUGCCCAGUCGCCGUCGCCUCAAACCUUGAACCCCUCCCACCUCCACUAUAAGCCUCACCGCUCCAACCUGCCACAACCACCGUCGAGCCGCGCCUCUACCAACCUGUGCAAAUCACGCCUCCACCAACCAGUGUAAAACCCGCUGCCAUGAAUCCUUGUCACCCGUCGUUGGCUCAUGGUAGAUCCAAACGAAGCUUCGCCGGAGGGGAUUGGUUUCGCCGGAGAAGAGGAAGGGAGGAAGAAGAAGAGUUGUGAAAAAAAAAAUACGUGUCAACCUAUGACUGGUGGGUCGCACCAUCCACGUGGCACAACCGUCGAACCUAAGAUUUUCUCAAGAGGUGAACCCUAGCCGCUAAUCUAUUCAACCAAUUGUCUGCCAUGUCACCACUGCCACACUAACUCUGGCUUGCACCUCUAACCAUCAGGCAAAACAACUUCAAUGCACAUGUAGAGGACAUGGUCCUGAGGAAGCCGCGGUCACCAACUCCUCGAGUAGACUCACAAACACGAAACACCAGCCUUAAGAGGAUUUGCAACAAUGCUCUUGUUCACUAUUCAAGCAACCGUCAACUAGUUCUCCACCCUCUGUUGUCUACAUACUCUUCAAGGAGGAAUUUUUUUUUCCGCAAUCGCUCUUCCAUGCGCAUCUCCUCUAGUUGGAGUUUUAUUUAACAAAAGAAUCUCAUGCCUAAGAAAGUUAAUCAUGGCUUGUUUUUUUUUUUUUUUGGCUUAAACCUCGAUGAAAUGAGGGUAAUUUAUUGAAAAUAAAUAAGAGAACUAUCCCGUAGUAGGAGGGAUCUAACUCAACUCCCAUCGAAAACAAAAAGCAAACCUAUAACUCACAACAAAACAACGAAAGGAGAGAAGCCCCAACCAAUCGCUAUUACAAAAAGAAAUAAUAAAAUUUGGGGGCACGUCCCACCACGUCAAACGUGAUGAAUUUAUCCCUAUUUCUUGUCGCCUAUUUCAUCCCGAUGGAGAGGUAAUUACAAAGCUAUUUAUGAUUAAUUUGUACCAAAUGUAUGUUGAUUGGUCGGACAACGACAAUAUCUUUGUUAGAGGCACAAACAUCACAAUGCCUGCUAUUGUAACCUCUUGACAGACUUCAUGAGCUGUUGUAUAGGCACUUUGAAGCUUGAUUUUAGACUUUGUUUCCUUGGGUCCAUAAUGAUGGGUUUUCAUACUCUUUUUUUUUUUGAAAAGAAUGAAUAACUUCAUUGAUCGAAAAGAUCAUACAAGUCAACGAGCUCUCUUGCUUAAUCUAAGGGAUCUGAAGAUGACCUAUAACAUCCACUGCUCAGGUAGCUAGUGCACCGAAUGCACAUUUAACAAUGACUCCUAAAAACUCCUACACCUUGACCGAAGACAGCACAAAAUUUAACCCAUCAGUAUAUUUGCCUAGAGACUUUUAUGGUGUACGUCAAUAUUGGUGCAAUUGCGUUAAACCUUAUACUAACUAAAGACCAAGAGAUACAGGGCUAUUGCCCACUCCACCCUCCAAAAGAAAAAACAUUAUUAGACACAAAAUAAAUUAAACUAUAAUAAAAAAAUCAAGACCUAGAGGGUUCCUAUACGAGCACAGCAGCCUCAGAUUCUUUGAACGCACGCGCCUUCCAUUUCUAGCUGUUUUUGAACUCGAUCGUGAAUUGGUCAGUUUUUUCUUCGUUUCUCUUUGAUUUUCUGGGUUUUCUAUUGAGCUCUGGUGGUGAAUCCACCUUUCAUCUUCUCCGCCCUUCCUUUAGGAAAUGACGAAGCCUCUGAAACUAUGCUUAGCCAACGCAAACGAACUAAAUCUGGUGGUGAUAUCAACUCGGAGAUGGAAGCACUCUGAGUUGAAGAUCUUGACUCUUCUACUCAGAUCCCCUCAUCCAUGUUUCCUAAAAUGUCUUAUGCUAGUUCUCUGAAGAAUUCCACUGAGCGCUUCUCACAGACUAUGUCUGAAGAGUUUGAUUUUACUGAUGCUGAUUGUACUUACUCAAUGGGUAAGCAUGGUCAGAAUGUCUCCUUCUCUGAAAAGGUGCAUAACAAGCUAGAUUUUGAAUGGCGUUGUGCAGUUGUUGUCAAGCUCAUGGGUAAGCCUAACUCUACUAAUUCCUUUAAUUUCAUGUUAAAGGGUCUUCGUAGGAAAUGGCAGACUAGAGGUGGUUGGCAACUUAUUGAUUUACCUAAUGAUUUCUUCAUUGUGAAAUUUAAUCUUGAAGAAGACAUGAACUAUGCAUUAUGUGGUGGUCCUACGAUUAUUGCGGGUCAGACACUUGUUGUGCAGAAAUGACAUCCUGGUUUCAAUCCUGAUUGUGAAGUUAUUGGUAAGAUGGCUUUAUGGGUCAGAAUCUUGGAUUUACCUGUUAAGUUUUUUAAGGACUUCACUGUUGCUAAGAUUGGCAAGAUUCUAGGUGAUGUGGUUAAGGUGGAUCCUCUUACUAUUGGUCAGUCUAGGGGUAAAUUUGCUAGGGUGUGUAUUGAAAUUGAUCUUAGCAAACCAUUAAGGCUUGUUGUUGAAGUUGAAAACAUUGCUUAUCAUGUGGUUUAUGAAGGUAUAUCCAUGAUUUGUUUUGAGUGUGGUUGUUUUGGACACCCCAAGGAUAAAUGCCCUUCCAUUGUUACUGCUAAAGUUGAUGUUUCUUCUCAUCAAGACCCUUCUGAAGUGGAAAAUGUUCCUAAUGCUCAAUCUGAGGUGGAGAUGCAUGCUUCUGAGGACAUUGUUAAGGAAGAUAUGGGUCCAUGGAUGCUUAUGACUUACAGAAACAAAAAGAAGAAUGGCAAUUCUGGGAGGUCAAAGAAUCUGAAUGCUUCUGGCUCUAGGUUCUCUGUGCUCCAAGAAGAGGAAAUUAAUGAGAAGGUUCCCAAUGUUGAGAAUGAUGCUGACAUGCCUUCUGGAGACACUCCUAAUAUUGUGAAAUUGUGGAAUAAUUUCCAAGAUAAAAAGAAGAAGACCAGUAAGUCCAAGAACAACCUUAGCUCUACAUCCAAUCCUAAACCCCCAAUGGUGACCAGUAAAUCCUCUCCUAAACCUUCUAAAGUUCUUAAUGUGAAUUUUGAUGUCAAUGUCUCUGAUACUUUAGCUAGACAACCAAUGAAGGAUGUUUCCAAUGUUGGCAGCAGUGGUAUGACCAAAACUGAUCUUCAGUACCAAAGGAAAGCUAAAUUUCUUAACGGUUCCUCCUCUAAGCAGAAUUCUCAAGUUUUCAAGAAACUUUCAUUUGAAAAUGUGAGCAGCUUCGCUUUAGGAGGUGAUUUUUCUGCUUGCUUUGGUCAUUCCCCUCCUGAGGAGUCUAUGGAGGUGAAUAUCUUAUAGCCUUUGCCUUCUAAUGAUAGUACAACUUUGGUUGUUGAUAAAAUCUUUAAUGAUAAUAGCAUGAUUUCUUGUGAAAAUGAUCAGCCUUCCCAUGAUGGAGAAGGUAUGGUUGAUGCUUAACUGGAUAUUUUUAUCCAUCUCUUCCAAAUGUUUCCAAUGAUUAAAGUCCUAUUUUGGAAUGCAAGGGGUGCUGGAAGUGAUGACUUUUUGUCUGCAGUUGCAAAUAUUGUCAAAAUAAAUUCUGUUGAUAUUUUAGCUAUAUGUGAACCUUGUGUUCAGUUUCAAAAAUCUCGUGAUUCUCUUUUAAGGAUUGGUUUUUCUGAUUUUGAAGUUGUUGAAGCCAUUGGAUUCUCUGGUGGUAUAUGGUUACUUUGGAAUAAAAGUAAAGUUUCUGUGAGCAUUAUUGAUAAAAAUUCUCAGUCUAUUUCUGUCAAAGUCAAUAUUCCUGGGAAAUUUUGUUGGAUGCUCUCUGCUAUCUAUGCCAGCCCUACUCACUCCAUUAUAGCUAACCUCUGAUCCUAUUUUGAUAGUUUGACUCAGUUAGUUGGCCUUCCUUGUAUUUUUAUUGGUGAUUUUAACGAGCUGGUGUCUCCUAAUGAUAAAAACUGUGGGCUUUUUUAUGAAAGAUUUGCUGGUUUGAAGGACUGGAUGAACAAAAACGCAAUGAUUGACAUGGGGUUUACUACCUCUCGAUUUACUUGGAGUAAUAACAAGAUCAAAGAGAGACUUGAUAGAGGUUUUUGCUGUUGCUCUUGGAGAAGUUUAUUUCCUGAGGCUUUUAUCCAACACUUGCCUAAAACUAGAUCUGACCACUGCCCAAUCUUGUUACAGCUUUUCUCCAAUAAUUUUGUUAAUAAACUUGACACUCCUUUCAGGUUCCAAGCAAUGUGGUUUUCUCAUGCUGAUUAUUCUAAAUUUUCUGAAAGCACCUGGAAAGCUCUCAAUGGUGAUCUUAGUACUAAAGUGCAACACAUGGCCUCUGCUCUCUCUCAGUGGAAUAAAGAUGUUUUCAGACAUCUAUUUCAGAAGAAAAAAAGACUUUUAGCAAGAAUUAGUGGAAUUCAGAAAGCUAGAGACAGGUAUGAAAACCCGUUUUUAAUUAAUUUGGAGGCUGAUUUGAUUCAUGAAUAUGAGAAACUUAGAGAUCAAGAAAUAUGUUCUGGAGGCAAAAAUCUAGGGAUGAUUGGAUUAGAAAUGGUGAUAGAAAUACAAAAUUCUUUCAUCUAACUACUAUUGUUAGAAGGAGGAAUAAAAUUAAGGGUCUCUUUGAUUCCAGUGGAAACUAGUCCACUGAUUCUACUACUAUCAAGAAGAUUGUUGUGGAUUUUUUCAGUGAUGUCUUCUCUCAGUCAGUGCUUGAUGAUAUUAGGAUUACCAUUCCUUGGCUCUUUCCCUUUAUUGAUCAACCCAAAUUUGAUGAUACCAUUAAACCUGUCUCUCUUGAUGAAGUGAAAUCUGCUCUUUUCUCUAUUUGUGGUUUGAAAGCUCCUAGUCAUGAUGGUUUCCCUGCUAUUUUCUUUCAACACCAUUGGCAUUUGCAUUCUUCUGAAAUUUUUCAAGUUGUUCAAGAAGCCUUUUGCACUUCUUCUAUCCCUGCUGGCUUAAAUCAUACAAUAAUUACUCUUAUUCCUAAAGUGGAUGGUCCCCAGCACAUGAUCAACUUUAGGCCUAUUAGUUUUUGUACCACCGUGUACAAGAUUAUUUCUAAGAUUAUUGUUGCCAAAUUAGAACUUUGAUGCAAGAUUUGAUUAGUCCAAAUCAGGUUAGCUAUGUGCCUGGGAGGAAUAUUUCAGACAACAUUAUGAUAGCUCAAGAAAUGCUUUUCAAGUUUAAAAAGUCCAUUGGUAAGACUGGUUUCUUUGCUUGGAAAAUUGAUCUGUCAAAAGCUUAUGACAGGUUCAAUUGGAAUUUCAUUGAAAUGGUCUUGUUUGAAGCUCACUUCCCUAGGCCCCUUGUUAAACUGAUUAUGCAUUACAUCACUUCUACCAGUUUCAAAUUAGUUUCAAUGGUGAGUUGACUGAAUCCUUUCAGGCCAAGAGAGGCAUUAGGCAAGGUGACCCUUUCUCUCCAUAUAUCUUUUUUCUGUGUAUGGAAAAGCUUUCCCAUUUAAUUCAAUCUGCAGUUGAUUAUGGCUAUUGGAAAGCUGUUAAAGCAUCUCAAUCUGGACCUAAAAUUUCGCAUCUCUUCUUUGCUGAUGAUCUUAUCCUGUUUACUGAAGCCUCUUCAUUGCAAGCUUCCCUUCACAAGACUUGUUUGGAUAAUUUUUGUGCUCUCUCUGGACAAACUGUGAGUUUUGAGAAAUAUCUUUAGUGUUCUGCUCACCCAACACUUCCAAGUCUACUGCUUCUUUGAUCAGCAAUGUGUGUGGAUCCCCUCCACUUGUGAUCUUGAAAAGUAUUUAGGUAUGCCUCUCAUUCAUGAUAGAGUCAAUAAGUGCACUUAUGCUGGUUUAUUUGACAAAGUUCAGAAAAGGCUCUCUAGUUGGAAAGCUUUGCUGGUAGACUUACUUUGGUGCAAUCAGUUACUUCAACUAUUCUUAUGUAUGCAAUGCAAACAGCUAAGUUUCCUGUUAGUCUUUGUGACAAACUUGAUAAACUAAAUAGAGACUUCAUUUGGGGUGAUGUUGAAAACAAGAAAAGGGUUCAUCUUGUGAACCGGGACACUAUCUGUCAACCUAAGUAUUUAGGUGGAUUAGGGAUCAAGAAAACUACUGAUAUGAAUCAGGCUAUGCUCUCUAAGAUUGGUUGGAGAAUUUUCCAACAUGAUAAUGGUCUCUGGGCUAAUGUGUUAUAUGCUAAAUACCUUCAACAUGGUUGUUUGUUUGGAAAUGAUUAUAAGCCUCCUUCUGAUGUUUCCAGUACUUGGAGAGGUGUUAUGCAUGGAGCUGAGUUGAUCAAAAAGAAUUUAAAAUGGCAUGUGGGAAAUGGCAAUUCUACUAAAUUCUGGUACGAUUUUUGGCUCUUGCCUCAAGCCCUUAUUAACUCUGCUCUCCCUUCUGCUGUUAUUUUUGAAGAUAUUGUGAUUAGUAAUUUCUGGAAUGCUGAGGGUUGGGAUGUGGAGCUUCUGUUGUCUGUGCUCCCUAGAGAAAUUGUAAUCUUAUUGUUAAUGUGCCUCCUGAUUUUAGUGACAGUGGUGAUGAUACUAGAAUUUGGUGUUCUACUUCUAAUGGCCAAUUUUCAGUGAAGUCUACCUAUAGCUUUAUUUUUGAUUCUUCUGAUCCUGUGAACCCUCAAUGGAAAGCUAUGUGGAAGCUUGACCUUCCCCCUAAACUCAAGACCUUUUUGUGGACUAUUCUUCAUAAAAAGCUGCUCACCAAUGUUCAAUGUGCUACCAUAGGCUUUACUUCUAGCCCUUCGUGUCCCAUUUGUCACUCUGCUGAUGAGACUCUAUUGCAUAUGUUGAGAGACUGUCCUAGAGCUAAAAUUAUAUGGAGAGCUUUCAGUAAACCGGUUUGCAUUGAUAAUUUUUUUUCCAAGAUUGGCCUGGUUGGAUUAAUGCUCAGCUGCAAUGCCAUAUUGUUGUUCAGGAAAAUAUUAGCUGGAAUUGUCUUUUCAUUUUCAUUUGCUGCUUUAUAUGGAAGUGGAGAAACAAGCAAGUUUUUGAACCUGGUUUUGUUUUUCCUACUGGUUUCAAAAAGAUCAUCUGGGACUAUGCUUUGGAAUGGAGAAAGUCUAAACUGAAAUCCAAUGACAAUUACAUGUUCAGCUAUACUAUGCAUGCUUGGAAAAAGCCUCCUGAAAAUUUUUUCAAGCUCAAUGUUGAUGGAACUAGAGUAUCUCCUAUUUGUAAAAUUGGUGCUAGUGGUGUCAUUCGGAAUCAUUAUGGUGAUUGGAUCAGUGGUUUCCAAAUUAAUCUUGGAGUUGGAGAAAUUUUGGAUGCUGAAGCCUAGGGUCUUUUUCAGGGCCUGAAGCUUGUUGUUAGCUUGAAUAUCAAGAAUCUUAUCAUUGAGUCUGAUUCUGCAAUCUUGGUCCAGCUGAUGAAUAACUCUGAGUUUGGCAAUCAUCCUUUAGGAUCUCUUUUUCAGGGAUGCAGUAGCUUGAUGAACAAGAUGGAGAGUGCCACCUUAUCUCAUAUCUUCAGAGAAUGCAACUCUACUGUUGAUGCCUUAGCUAAAUGCAACAUUUCUCAUGAGCUUGGCCUUGUCUAUUUUGACAGCCCUCCUGCUCAUGCUGCUAAUGCAUUCUUAGAUGACUUGUGCGCUGUUUCUAAAGCCAAGAGAGUUGGCAACUGUUUUAGUAUCUAGUCUUUGCUUUUCUUUUGUUUGUGCCUUUUAGGCACCUUCUAUAACCAAAAAAUAAAAAAUAAAAUAAAAAAAUCAAGACGUAGGCUAGGCCCAAGCCUUAACAGAAGAGUCCACAAACAGCAAACCAAGCUCGGCAAAAUCCAACGACAGCCGUCGCCGCCGAUCUGUCGAUUUCCGUCUCACUAGGAUCACCAAACCGACCAUAAGAACUUUCGACGCACCAAAGAUUGCUUCACACUACCAUAAACUCGACACUCCUAGGCUACCUCCGGCAACGAACCCGUCACCGUCUAGCCGCCCCCAAUCUCGCACAAACAAACCAACAAUCGGGCCAUCGAGAGACAAAACCAAAUAUGGCCACCGACAUGAGCUCCUCUUUCCUCUCCUCUAAGACAACUGCCGCAUAACCCUGGCCAGAUAAGAAUGGCGAUCGAUGCACCAGCCUCACAGAUGUGAUCAUGUCCCGUCCGACGAUGACAAAAAGGCACGCUGCCGGACAAGAGAAAAACCCUAGAUUUUGCUCUCAAGGGCGUUGCUCCUUCUCUCGCAAAGUUUUCAUUUUCAUACUCAUUCAUUAGUUUGUUUUAUUUUAUAGAAAAUUUUAACUAGCCUAUUAUAACGCCAUUGUCCAUAAUCAACAGGCUUACUUAAAUAAGUGAGAAAUAGUGAUACUGUAAAAUAAUCAAGUCCAAUUAAUGUGUCAUGUUGUAUUACCAACUUUUUAUUAGGCGCACCCUUCUUUUCUCUCUAGGGUUUCUUCUCCUAGGGUUUUCUGACUGCCCUGCUGCUUUACACCCAAACCUCUCGAUCUACAAUGUCUGAUGAGGUUUCUCAAUGCUUCACGUCGGCUCUGGCCAUCCAUGACGGUGAUUCUCCAUCUUUCAGUGUCAUGAGGUCUUCUCCGGCGCCGCAACAGUUCUUUGUUGUUGGUAGGCUUCUUACGUUGAAGCGCAAGAUCCUAGAUCCAAAAGCCGUCAUUGGCACUCUCACCUCUAUAUGGGAUCUCCAUAAUCGUCUCCAGAUGAGGGCCAAGACGGACCGCUUUGUGCUUCGUUUUACCAGAGCCGAUGACCGAAAAAAUAUUCUGACUAGCGACCUUUGGUUCUAUGGAAGAUCUAUGUUCGUUCUUGCUGAGUAUGAUGGUUUGGAAGAUGUGACCUCUGUUCUGAUUGAUUUGUUCCCUGUCUGGGUCUAAAUCAAAGGUCUUCCAGAUGAACUUAUGACUGAUGAAGCGGUUGAGAAGGUGGGUUGGACACUAGGGCAGGUUGAACAUGUUGAUCAGAUGAACAUCAGAAGGGGAACCUGGGCUCGGGUUUGAAUUUUGCAUAAGCUAAGUAUGCCGAUCAAGGAGGCUUUCGGGGAGAUGCCAUUCGAGUUCAGAUCAAGAAGAUUUCUGGUGAAGUUGACCGUGAAGUAUGAUCAGAUGGUGGGCUUCUGUAGGGUUUGUGGUCUCCUAGUGCAUUCAGAAUCGGGGUGUGCAGGUAAACCUGACCUGCUUCCUCAGUUUAUUGAGAUUGAAUCAAUGAAGACUCCUUUUGGAUUUGGGGGAGUAGCUAGGGUUUCUGGAAACCCUAAUCCUAAUCCUAAUCUAAAGGUGCAACCUAGGCUCUUUGCAUAGCAAACAGAUUUGCAGGUGGACAAAGUGAGAGGUGGUUUCUCAACUUCAACCAUGUCAUUCCUCAAAGCGGUGGUUAACCCUUUUGCAAGCCCUAGCACGCUGCCGAAAUUUUCUUUCUCUAACCCAAGCAUAUCGGCAGCCAACAUGGCUUUGAAGUUGGAUAGGCUGCGGACUCCUCCUGUUUUGCAAUCGGUUCCAAUUGCAGCGCCAGCAGUUGUUGUGGAGUCUCCUCAGGUAUAUACACUUACCCCAUUUCCGGUGUUAAGAGAGGCCCGGAACUUGCUUUAGUUCCUUUGGGGAAACGUGGUAAAGGAGAUGAGGAUUCAGAGUCUAUGGCUUUGGAGCCUUAUGUGCUGGACUUCUCACCAGAGAUGGCUCUACCCUAUUUGGGUGGUGUGAUUGUGGUUUCUCCGGCGAAGAAAAGGAAGCUAGGUCGUCCAAAGGGUUCUUUGAACAAGAAACCUGCUGGUGUUGUCGACCAGACUGUGCAGGGGUCGAAAAGAGCUAAGAAACGCUCUUUUGGAGCUCGAAAAAUUUGAAGAAGGAGUUGGAUAAAACACAAGUUCCUGUGGUAAGUACUGAGUUCUCUUCUGCAGAAGAGAGAGAGGCAGUAGCUGUGUAUUUGGAGCCAGGGUCUGGUGUUCUUGCGGGUGGAAACUCUUCUGGUGGUAGCUCGUAGGGUCUCCUUUUCGGAAUAGUUGGUUUUUGAUGUCUUCUUAAUAAGUUAGUUAUUGUUCUAGGAUAUUCUAUAUCUUUUUAGAUAUUCUAUAUGUGUGUAUUGGUCUUAUGCCAAUAGGAUAUGUAGUUAGACUAGAUCUAUGUAUUCAUAUCCUUACCAUAUUGGUAUUGUGUAAUUCCUUAUAUAAAAGGCUCAUAUCAAUGAAUAAGAUGAUGAUUCUCUUGCUAUCUCUUUGUCUAUACACUUUAUACUUCAUCACGUUAUCAUGCAUUUUGUUCUAACCCUAGAACUAAUAGCCCACCAUUUUUUUUCCAAACCCUAAAAACCAAAACUGGAGGUUCUCAGCCCCACCUCGGCCGCCGCCGCCGCCGUCGCUUCCCGGCCGUCCACUCCGUUGCUUUCUUUUCAUCUGAUCAAGCAUCCAAGUAUUUACGGUAUGUUUAUUUUACAACCCUAAAACUCUUCCAAGUUCAAUAACCUCGGGGGAGAUAAAGUGUUUUCUCCCCUUCUUCUACUCCAUUCUAUGCUUGGGUCAGUGUAUUUGCAAGUACCAAAAAUCCCGAAAUUUUAUUCGCGGGUCAAGAGUGUGUUUGAUCACUCUUGUUUCCUUCUUCGGGUUGUGUAUGAUCAACCAUGACCUAUCACCGGAUUGUGUUUGAUCAAUCCGAGGCCUUUUCCGAAUUGUGUUUGAUCAAUUCGCGGCUUUUCCGGAUUGUGUAUGAUCAACCGAAGGACAAACCAUUAAAAGCAUUGUUUGUGACCUCUAUCGAGUCUCAUAACAGCUUGGUUUUAUAUGUAAGAGCAAUGUAACAUUCUGCUCCUUUGAGUUUUGACGUACUCAUGCCUAAGGUGAAUCUUCGCUUGGUAUCUGUGGAACCUUUCAUUGGAAAGGAUUAAACCAUAUGUUUUGACCCCCAUGCUAACAAGCCUAGAUGCCGAGAUUUCACAUCUCAUGCGUUCAAAGUCUUUGACGCGCCACAUCGACAAAAGCCUUCAAUGGCAAUCUGUACAAAAAGUAAUGACCACAAAGUACUGUGGAAUGCACUCAUGGAGUGUUUCUUGAAACGUUCAUAUAACUCUACUUGUUGAGUUAUUAGUCAAGUGGAUUGCUCACCACUUUAAUUGACUACAUAUUUUUGAUGAUCUUUUGUGGCAUCAUGAUCCAUAAUCUUUAGCGGAUUCGAUCAUCAUCAAGUUCUCUAGGUCCUCCAAGUUGGUUUGGAAUUACCAACGAGACUUGAUUUUGAUCUUACAAUUGCAAACGAGAAUUGUAUAUACGCUAAUGCGAUCAACUUAUUUGGGAUUAUCCCCUAAUGUGGGGACAACAAUAUGGGUCAUGGCAACGGCAGAAAACGUCGUGCCGAUGUCUAGAAAAGAGGGGGAGGUGUCGCCGGCUCUAAUAGCAACACUCCCGGUCUAGACACCAUUUUGUCAAAACUACUCACGUCAGCUCAUGACAAUGCAACUGUUGUGGAUCUUCGGAUCACUGGUUCAAGAUUGUCCAGCUCUUUCAAAUUGUGAAUGCAUACAAAAAGGUACAGAAAAUCAAUAUGAGGACAAGAACGUCAUCCUCAUGAUCGCAAAUUUCAAAGAUUCGGAUCUUGCUCUAGCUACCCAUGACUUUGACGUCAUUGGAUUUUGUGUCUUUGUAAUCUUCUGUGACUACAAUGCUUGAAUCAUACUGGUCAUUCAGGGCCGCGGUUUAGCUUGAAUCUUGAUGCCUCAUAGCACCAUGAUCAAUGUCACAGAUACCCUCUAUGCAUUGAGAGGCAAUCGAACCAUAUUGAGCUUUAAAGACAUUCAUGCUAAUAGUUUUCAUUUGAAAACACAUUGUGAGAAUGAAUAAGAGUGUUCUUUUAUCUAUACCUUCUCAUGAAUGCGGACUGAAGCGUAUCUUGAAGAAAUGCAUGAGUCAAUCUAGUGGAUUGUAUGUCACUACGAUUCGAAUAUCGAAUCUCAUGUUGUCGCCAAACAUGAUAUUUGGGACACCGACUCAUAUAGGCUUUGGUUUAACCAAAUUGGUCAACCUGGAAGAGAUAUAAUGGUCCAAAUUUUGAGAAAUUCUCAUGGACAUCCAUUCUUCCGCUCAAAACGAAGACAUUCAAGAUCUAGCAUCACCAUGAAGCAUGGUGGUGACCCGGGGGACAUUGACGUCACUCGAACACGACUCCAACUUCCUAGAGGUCGUCCGGUCAAUUCCUCAAGCAAUUGAGGUGCACCUGCCUUUUCUCAAUGUCGCAUUGGCCCCCUGCAAUGCUCAUUUCUCGUUUUGAAAGCCUAUUUUUUAGCUAAAUUAGGAGUGAGACCCUUCUACACUAAAUAACACAAAAGUGAACAUUCUAUUCUUACGUCAAACUAUGUAGAUAGAUACAACCAACUUGCAGACACCUUUUUAUGUUUUAUGGUGUUGGUUGAAGUGUUAACACACUGGUCACGUGUUACACUAUUAUCUACUGCUUAUGCUGCUUAUACUUCUACGGGCUCACUACCCAUUUUUUAAAAAAGUUUAUCGGGAUGGAAGUUGAAGUGUCUUGUACCCCUGACGCGCCCGUUACCGGGCAUGCGGCAAUUAAGAACCUUUUUUUACAAUCGUAGUAUAAGGCAAAUAAGGUUCAAUCAAUCCGGGGACUAAAGGUGCUCUUGUAACAAUGGUCAUGUAAAAAGUUAGUAGUUUGAUAUAUAUACAUUUACAAGUACUGAUUUACAAAUAUACAUAUGGUACAAGGUAAUCAGGGGGGGUUUUGAGGUUUGUUCUAAUGUUCCUACUAAAAGAUAAAAAUAAAAGCUAAACUAAUAUAUACAAGUGAUCGAUUCAUUCAACACAUCCAUCAGAGAGAAACUCAGAUUCUGACCACACAUCAAAGUUCACAUUUCAACCUUAGCAAUCCGAUAACAUGCCAAUUCAGAGAACUAGAAACAAUCUGAAAAUACAAGCCUACGAGGUCAUGCAUUUUAUAGUUCUACUUACUUAUCCCUAGCACAGAACGUCUAGAACUAGGACAUCUCAUGCAAGGUUGCUAUCAAUACUACAAGUAUCUGUCUACACUUAACAUGAGUCCUUAGAAUAUAUAGAACGAGAUUGAACACAAUUAUAUUGUGAACGUCACAACAGGGAUUGCAUAGUAUAUGUAUUCAACCAUAUCUGUAACACAACUUCCACCACUAGAGAUCUACACUUACCUACUAGGCUUAGCAUAAAUCAUGACAUUAGUUAGCAUGCAUUCUAACAUAGGUAUAUCAAACAACAACACAUACUUUCUAACCUAUGAAUUGACAAGAUCAGAUUGCUAAAAAUAUCAUUAAUGAAACUUUAGCAUGCUUUACUGAAACUCAGAAUUUACUAACAACAUAACCAUCGAAACAACAUCCAAAUCCAAUAUUUGAAAACCGAAAACAUGUUUCUGAAAUUGUAAAGGAAAACUAAACAAAACAGAGGUAGGGUUACACUUUAUCAGUCUUCAAGAAGCUUGUAGACAUCAACAAAGUGCUCCAGCUUCAAAGCUUCAAGGCUCCCAAGUUGCUGCUCUUGUGGAAACGUCCAACAAGGCUUUGGCAAGGAAGAAACUCAGCAAAGGAGAGGGAGAGGCUGCUCAGCAGAGCUAUGUGUUUCCCUGACUUUUGUGUGAAUGAAUGAUGGUUUGAAAAGUACCCAAGGCUGUCUAUAUAUAGAGGAAAUUCUUGUGGAACUUCUCCUCAAAACUGAUGUGGGACUAGGAGAAAUGUGUGGUUUUUCUUCUUUAGGAGCACAUGUUUGACUUUUCUUCUUCCUUGGACAGCUUGGGCCUUCUUUUGGGCUUUCUGCAUUUUUCUCUUUCAUCCUUGGACUUGGGCCUUCUUUUGGGCUAUCUUCUUCCUUCCUUGGACUGCAAGAAGGCUUCACUACAUUUUUCUGCAUUUUCUGUUAUUUCCAUGAUUUAGCCUUCUUUUCUUGAUUUAUGCUCUAAUGUCCUUUACAAUCACAAAGCAUGUUAGAAAUGGCAUUAUUAUGAGAAUAUCAUAGCUAAAUAGGGUAGGAAACACAUUAUAAAAAUAGCACUUUGUGCUCAUAUCAACCCCAUAUUCACACGCAAUACGGUCUCGCCGAGGCUACGACCAAGCAACUUUAGCUUAUCGCUCGAACAUUAUUGAUGCGCACCAAUCUUUCUAUCGCGUCUUGGGGCUAUGUAAUAUUUGCAUGCAGCUUUACUAUUCAUCUACAACCCACCAUUAUUGAAUAUUUUUGUACUACAGCUCGUGACUGUAUACCAGGAUUGCAAUCCUUGAGCUCAAACAAGAUUGAAACGGGUCUCCAAUCCUUGAGCUCGGCUAAAUGUUAUUUCUAGGUGCCAAAUCGCAUUGUCACUGCGUACAAUGAUGGGUCAUUUGAGAUGAAGAAGUGUUUAGGUUGGAUAUGAACCUCCACCUAUAAAUCCGCAUAUGUAGAAACCUUGUCAGGUAAUCUCAUUCACCGCUAAAUUGCGGAUUGUCACUUUGAUGAGACAAUAUUCCCGCCAUUAGGGGGAGAUAAGAACACAAGUGUUUAAGUGGAACGACGUGAAUUGUCGUGGUUUGUCCCCACUAAGUCUCAUCUUGAUCCUAAAUGCUUAAAGUGUUAAAGUGACGAGAUCACAUGCUGCAAAUAUGUCUGCAAGGAUUGAUGUCCUAUCAAGAGGACAUGGUGCGACCAAAAAAGUGUUGGUCUUGACGCAUCACCAUGGAUGGUGAUAUGGUGACGCCAUAUAGUGGCAAAAUUGGUAUCACAAGGCGGUCUGGCUCCCCAAGGAAACCCUUAAGUUUGAUAUUUUCUCGCACUAGGAAGAAAGCGAGCUUGGCACAACCUGAUCCAUUGAUCAAUGAUACUAAAAUCCGUCUUAUGAAGUCUGAAUUGUGGUAAUCGUUGGGGGACGCCUCAAUGUCAAAUCUAAUCUAUAUAGAGAUCUCUACAAGUAUUACACUAGUGUACAUGAGGAUGUGGGAUAAUGAGUCUACUAUCGAACCACCUUUCGUUGAUAGAUAUCAAUUUAGUUGAUUGGCCUAAUGGAAAGAUGCAAUCCAGCAUUAACAAAGAGAUAGGUCCUUGGGCAAGUAAUACCGACACCGCAAGUUAAACCCUAUCAACUAUGUCUUUGUUAGAUAGCGUAGUAAGAACAAGAGCUUAGACUCACCUUAUGGCGCAAGGUCUCUCACUAACACGCACUGAGAUCGACUACGAUGAGAUAUGCUCUCGUAAUGGAUGUCAUUGAACUCCACUACUUUGUCAGUUUGGUAGUUUCCGAAUAAUUGAACAUGCAGCCUAUGAAUGUGGUCAUAAUAACAUCUCUAUGGGAUCAGAGAUAUACAUGAAGGUCUUAAACGGACUUCAUUCAUCCGAAUCAAGUGGCUCCAAACCACAGGAGCAUGCGUUUGCUAAAUGUAUUGAAACGCACAUGGACUCUACUUGAUUUGGAAGGGAUAUGGUGAAUUAUGCCUUUGUGUGUUCAUUUCGGAUUUACAUGGACUCUUGAUGGAUCAAGAGAUGCCAAUAUGUAUCAACAUCUGAAAAAAAAAGAUCUUGGGAAGACACGGUCUCAAUAAGGCACUCGAUGACUGUAUUGAUGAUGAUUUUCCAUCAAUCGGCUUAGGCACUUUAUAACUAGUGAGGCCUACAUAUACUCCCAUGAUUAUUCAAGGUCUUUGCUCUAAAGAGAGAUCUAUUGUUUUGUCUAAAGCAAGAUGACAAAUAUGUGUUAAGAGAUGGAGUUCCCAUCUAAGUACAAUAAGACGCAUCAAUGUACUCAACACAAUACGAAAGACUUGACAUCUCAUUCACUAUGAAAAGUUGUAAAGCUAAGUGUAGCUAUGCGCCUACGCAACGCCAAUAUAAUGGCAGUAACUCUUUUUUCAAUACUUAAUGGUAUGAAAGGUUGAGGCUUAUUCUAUCCCUACAUAAGAAAGACACAUCAAAAGCGAAAUCAGAAUCUGCCAAGUUUCGUAGAUCAAGUUCCACGGCACCUACAGGAAAUCUCACUCACUAGAAAAUGGUGAAAUUGGUACCAUUGGAAAGGUCUAUGUGUCCACUUUCCAGGGACACCAACCAUUUGAUCAUACCUAUCAUAUUGAGUGAGUUAUGGCCGUUUUCGUAAAGUAGGACGAAUCUGUCCGAGAAUCUGAUUUUGGCAAAACAGUCAACUUCGACUGGACUUUGUGAAUGUGAAUAGCUCCUGACGAACCAGAAUGUGUGUAAUAUACGAUUGGAAAGCUAAAUGAGUCUAGUUUCCAAAACCAUUUACAGUUCGUUCAUAUGUAUUUCCUAGAGGAAGUUACGACUGUUCUAGUAACUAAAGGUCAUGCUGCACGAAAAUUUGAUUUCCUGCACGAACUUAUGUUUUGAGUUCACAAGCGGCCUUCUCCUCAAGAUCUAAGUGUAAAAGAUCAUUUGAGGACAAUACGGUAUGAUUUAGUUAAUCAUUGUCCAAUGCCACAUUUGAAGACAUGUUAAAGAGCAUUGACAUGCUAAGUUGUUGAAACUUCCGUGAUUAGUAAAAAUCAGGAAGAGCCCUAUGAUUGAUGUAAAGAUCAGAGGUGCAAACUUCAGGAGGAGUCUAGCACAUACAUACAUGUCACUAUCAAAUGUGAAGAGUGCAUUGUACUCUUUUUCUCCUACGAUCAAGGUUCAGUUUUUCUCCCACAGGAUUUUUGUGACUUGAUAAAGUUUUUGACGAGGCAACAGAUCAGCACCAUCGGUAUAUCAGUGCGCGGCACAAGGGGGAGUGUUCUAGGAUAUUCUGUAUCUUUCUAGAUAUUCUUUAUGUGUGUCUUGGCCUUAUGCCAAUAGAAUAUGUAGUUAGACUAGAUCUAUGUAUUCAUAUCUUUACCAUAUUAGUAUUGUGUAAUUCCCUAUAUAAAGGGCUUAUCUCAAUGAAUAAGAUGAUGAUUCUCUUGCUAUCUCUUUGUCUAUACACUUUAUACUUCAUCAGUUAUCAAAAUAAGUGUGGUUUUUCUAGGAUUUUGUUAGAUUUGCUUAUGUUUUGUUCUUUUGGAUUUUUUGGGUUCUCUGGUUCUGGUUACUUUGUUUGAGGUGCAAUACUUAUAGUUUGCAGCAUAAGAACUACCUAGGAUAGCUUUGGUCUUCUUAGGUAGCUUCGCAUGAUUCAUUUUUAACGUUUACCUGCGAAGAUGUGUCAUGUUUAUGUUGUAAUCCGAUUUUCAGUUAUCAAUAUAUAAAUGUCUGACGUCCAUUUAUCAAAAAAAAAAUUAAUUAUUAUCUGCAUACACCAUACACCCGAUAGCUUUUUUCCGACUGGAGCUGUAAUAUAUCUAUUAUCUAACAUGAUACUUAUGGAAAAAAAAAAAUACAAGUUUGAUGUUGUAGAUUUAUAUCUAAUCGGGAUAUUCGCAUUACAUACAAGUGAUACAACAUUUUAUUCCGUUCAAUAAAAAAAAUAAAAAAAUAAAAAUAAAAAAAUAAAAAGCCAACAAGAAACAAGAUAGGGAUUGAAGGAAGUAGGCAGCUAGGUGUGUGAAACUGAGGACGAUGUCUUGGAAGCCUCGAGAUCUGCAGCCUGCUUGAGAAAGCUCUGGUCCUCGAGAGCCAUCUGUAUAGGGCAAGAGCCAAGCCCGUCGGCGAUGGCCAGCAAAAUCUUCUUCAUCUCCUCCCUGAACUCGUCCAGAUCCACCGUCCCGCUCUGGUCGCAGUCGAACUUAUCGAAUAUGGAAUUGUAGAGCUGCGUCAGCUCAUCAGGCGAGGUUGCCACGUCCAUGCCGAAGUGGGUCUCGAUCAAUCUCAUAGACUCGAACGCUUUUCGCAACUCAGACCGGGACAGAACGCCAUCGUUGUUAAGAUCUAGAGCAGCAAAACGCUCGUCCACGCUCUUCUUGAACUGCACCUCGUCGCUCACGAAGUCCUUCACCGUCGUUCCGUCGAUUAUCACCACUCCCAUCCUACGUUACCUAAUACGUUGAUUUUUCUGUUUCUUCUCCACUCAGUCGGUGUGGUCUGGUGUUGGUGUUGGUUAUCGUGUGGGGUGUUAUAUAAUUAGAGGUCCACAGCUGACAUAUAUCCUUCGACCAAAAAAAAUAAAAAGAAAAAUGCCCGUUUACACAAAAACAACAAAAUUAGAACCCGAUUUAAUAAAAAUCUAAUUCAUAAGCCCAUCCCAAUGAAACUUGAGUAAAAACAAAAUUAUCCUCCUUUUUAUUCAACUAACCCUCUCUCUCCUUUCCCAGUUUCCCGAUCUGAAUUCUUCUUCUUUUUUUCUACCUCUUUCUCUCUCUUGUUGCAGAGAUGUCUUCUCAAGUCCUCACCGAAGAUGCUACCGCCUCGGAAGACAAGAAUUACCGGAGACCGAGGCUUCACCGCUCGUCUCUCGGCGCUCAUCGGUCACCGCUCGUCUCUCAUCGGUCACCGCUCGUCUCUCAUCGGUCACCGCUCGUCGGUCACCGCUCGUCUCUCGGUGCUCGGCCUCAGCACUCGUUGGUCGCUAUUCGACACUCGUCGGUCGCCGUUUGGCGCUCGUCGCUUGUCUAAGCCCAGUCGCUCUCUCGCCUGAAGCUAGCUGAUGAAGAUCAGGAUGUGUAGCGCCUAUAUACUCCAGCAGUCUCAAAUUAAUCACCUCUCAUCUCUCUUUCUUUGAUCGCCAACCUCAGAUCGAUCGUGGCCAGCAAAUCACCAGAGAAGUUUGGAUUGGUGUUAACUUAUAUUCUCAUUUCGACUUCACUGUUAUUUAUCAAUACUUUCAUUGAAAUUAAAGUCAGUAUUUACCUUCUUCUUAUUCUUCUUCUAUCUUCUUCUUUUUUCUAUGUUUUGACUGAUAAUUGAGGGGUAGUAAUUGAUUACUGGUAGUCAGUAAUAGAUUACUGAUAGUCAAUAAUUGAUUAAUGAGGAUGAGUAACUUGAUUAUUGAAUGCCAAUAAUGAUUAUCGGAUGUUUGUAAUUGAUUACUGGGGUCAGUAACUGAUUAUUGGGGGUUAGUAACCAAGUUAUUAUGGGUCAGUAACUGAUUAUUGGGGAUCAGUAACCAGGUUAGUAACCGAGUCACCGGUGACUGGAAUCUAGUGACCAGAGAAAUCCAGCGGCCGGUGACCGGAGACCGAUGACUGGAGUCCGGUGAGAUUCCGGCCAAGUAUUCUAUCUUCUAUUUUCUCUCUCUAUGCAUGUUUAAAAGGUAAGGGCAAAAUAGUCUUAAAAUAAUAUGGUUUGUUAAGACUUUAGUAAAGAUUUGUGCAUUUGGGCAUAAAAAAUGUUACCUUAUAUUAGAAUGAGCUAAUGAAAAAGAUUGUCAUUGGAAUAGGGAAUGAGGGGUUUAAAUUAGUACUAAAUGGGCAUUUUCCCAAAAUAAGAUGCUAAUAUAUAUCCAUCCAUUUAUCUUAUCGAGAAAGAAAGGAAUAUCGGUGAGUAGGUGCCUAGGCGGGCGGGCAUCUAUUUUUUGUCUAGUUUGGUACAGUUUCGUUUUUAAAAAAAUUAGAUUUUAUCCGAAUUUUUAGAUUAGGUGUUUCUAAAUGUACCUAGCAAAUAACUAAGUAGACCCAACAAAUUUAUUCAUUUAAAACAUUUCAAAAUAGGUCACUUAGUUUCCCAAAUUACCCUUGUCAUGUACCCAGUAAAGAAACACGAAUGAAAGCAAAAGAACUCGGAAGAAAAUUCCCAACGUAGAUAUGGGUGAGACUGUGAGAGAGAUGAAGGACAAAAAUCUAAUUGUUAGCAUUUGGUAGUAGGUUUGGGGUUUUGGGUGUGUUGGAUUUGGACUCCAACGGUUUCUUUAGACUAAAUAAGUUGUGGUUUCAAGAAAGUUAUUUCCAAAGAAGGAUUUUGAAGUCAAGUUGGGAGAAAUCUUACAGUAGAAUAAAAUGAUGAGGUGUUUAGCCGAAGGCAGAGCAAUUGCCCGCCAUUAAAGACAAUUGCAUGAAUCCAAUUAGAAACUCUGCAAUCCAAUUGCAUGAAUCCCUCCCAUCUCUAUAAAUAUAUCCCCCAAUCUCAAUCAACAUUAGCACCAUCUUUCCCACAAAAUCAAUUGAGUUUUUUUUUUUGGCGAACAAAAUCAAUUGAGUUUAAAUCAACAUAUACGUACCCAAGAGUCAUGAUCAGGAAAACAAUUGGAAUGCACCAAGCAAUUUCAAACCAGAGUAUGGUUUUGAUGGGUGUUUGCUGGGUUUAACAAAGAUAGGGUUAUUAUUGGAACAUUGCUGGGUUUAGAUAGAAAUUUUAUAAUUUUACUGGGUGUAAAGAGUUUGCUGGGUAUACUUAGUCAUUUGUUGGAUACAUCUAGUAACACUUUUUAGAUUUUAUAGUGUCUGGUAAAUGAAAAAAAAUUUUCUAAAAUUAUAGGUCAUUGGCAGCAGCUAACCUGUAGGUUACUUUUAAAAGCAGCUGUCACUAAAAACACUAGAAAUUAGGAAAUUAAUAAAUUUUAUCUUGGCAGCACUUUUAAAACUAAUAUUUACCAAACACAAAACUGUUUUAAUUCACAGCUGAUUAUUUUCGCAGUACAGCAAAAACAGUUUUUUUUUUAAAGUCACAGCAAUACCAAACUAGCCCUUUCAUUGUUUCACAGUAGUGUUCACCUGGUCAAUAAUUGAUCAAGAAAUUCAUGGUCAAUCACCAUUAGAUGUAAAUUUAAAGAUAGAGAUAAUUAUUUUUAAGUUAGGUUGUUUUGUUUUCAACCCUUAGAUGUAAAUCUAACAAUGAUUGACUAUGAAUCUCUUGAUCAAUUACUAACCAGAUAAACACUAUUUUCACUGUUACAAAAAUACUGUUCCCUAAAUUGACUUUAGACAAAGACUUAUGUCGCAUAGCAUUACAAACUCAUAGUCGAUGCCAUAUUGAUGGGCUCAUCAUCCUCUAUCCGAAUAGCUUUUAAAUCCACAUGCACCACGAAUCGAAUAUGAUUUAUUCGAUUCCCAUCCCACAACUCGGCGCUUUGCCUCUUAAUUUUAAGGCUAUUUUAAACGAAAAAAACGAUUUACUGAUUUUAUUAGACUAAGGGCAUUUGAGGAAAACGCGGAGGUGGAUAUAGCAUAUUGUUUUUGUAAAAGUAAUUUGGAGAUAAAGCACGUAUCCUAUCUUACAGGUAUGAAUAGAAGCUCCCAAAAGGAAAAAAAACAAAAAAAAAGAUAAGGAAAGAAACAAAAAAAUAAGAAUAACUUCAUUAUUAAAAAAGAAAGGGAUAACUUCAAUAAAAAAAUACUGAUCAAUCAAAAAGUAAAGUACCGAUCAAUUCCUUUUUUUUUUUUUUUUUCCUUUUCUUUUUAGAGUGAAAAUUCCUUUGGCAGCAGCAUAAGAAAAUAUGGCUGACAUUGCCACAUCUAAACAAAGUACAGCAAAGAGGGUACAGUUGAUGAUAACAGAAGAGAGAAACCAGUGAAUAGCAAAGAAAAACAAAGUUAUUUUUUUCUUUCAUCGAAAUGAGAGGUAAUGAGCUAGCUAUAAUUGAGGCCCCUGUCAAUGCUUUUGAAUACUAUGAACUUCCUUAUACAAAGGACUGCAAAUUAUGUCAGAGAAAGCAUCGUUAUUCAAUUCAGAACUCCUCCCACUUGCAGCUCAACAGGUUACACCAAGAAGCAAUAAUUUUUGGACAUUGUAUCAGCAAAUGUCUCAGAAGGUGUGAUUAGAAGAUGUUUGAGAAGGGCAUUAAGGCGCCCUUAUUUAAAGCUAAGAACAUAAUCCUUGUCCAUCUGCACAAAACAAGAAUUCUAUUAGAGCUCUGAAAAGAUAUUUUCUUUCAAGAGCAAAAUCCAGCUUAAUACUUACAGAUACAGAAAGCUCUUUUGCUUUCUCAUCAUCAAAACCCAGGGAAACCAAGAUCUUGUGACCUGCCGACUCUUUUUCAGACCAGAUCCCAAGUAACAGAUGACUUACUGUUAUUUCCCCACUGUCUCCUGCGUUAGACAAGAGAAUCUAAAUAACAACUCACAUAAAAAUAACAAUACAUGUAAUUAUGCAUGCGGAGCAUAAUGUCUGUGCGAAAGUAUUGGAGCAUAUCCUAAUCAAUGAAACUUAACUAGCAACAAAAUAUUGUGACAGUUCUUGAUAUUAGUAAAGCACAAUUCCACAAAACCACCAUCACUAGAGUUUUUGAUACCUGACUUUAGUUUUUGAUCAACAGCCCAGUCAAGGGCCCUCUGAGCAGGCUCAGUCAAUGGAGGAUGCUCGGGGCUGAAAAAGUACAUGUCCGACUUUCCAAGUAACUUCACAGUUUCUUCUCGAACCUUGAAAAGUGUGAUUCCAUUAGCUCUGAGAAACUUGGCAGCUAUACUAGUUCCUGAACAGAAGAAUAAUAAAAAGAUUAACUUGGUUUUUGUUUAUGACUUGGAUUGGAACAAAUUACUACAAUCUGUCCCAUAAUCAAGUAACGUGAUACUGCAGAAGCAAAAUAAAGCCAUUGGCUGAUGAGUUCCUAGAAUGAAAUAACUCUUGAAGUAAAUAAUUCUUAAUCCUGUCAUCCCAAUGAAGUUGUAAAAAGCAACGACAUCACACUAGACAGAAGACUUUAAACAGUGUGAAAAAAGAAAAAAUAGAAUUCUCAGGCCGUGAUUCAUAAAAUGGGUAAACAAGUAUUCCCCUCUUAGGUUCUACAAAGAUAACAAGAGGGGAACAAAGAUUUAGACAUACAGCCAUGCUCUGUGAAUCUGUGAUUAAUACAAGAUAUGAGGUCAUCAACUCAGACACAUCAAUUAGAAGUUCCAAACCAAGUAUUAGUGAGAAAAGAGUUAUAGGCGUUUGCUGGAAAAGCUGACAUGGAAAAAUUAUGAAGUAGACUUUCGGGUGUCACAUACGAGUAGUAGAAAUCUAAUCCGCUAUGAGUUGAAAGCAGAAAUACAAGAGAGAAAUACCCUCGACUAAAAUUCCCAUUAGAAGGGCUUCCGUGCCAGUAUUGGGAUACUUGAGCUUCCUUGCUUCCAAUUCACCCAUAGCAAACGACUUAAUGGCUCUGGCCGACCAUCUAAAGAAACGAAUUCAGUCAAUCCAAUCCACAAGUAUAGCUCUAAACAAAAUGAAAUGAAAACAACUCACUGUGAGGUUUUCCCAGAAGAAAUCCUCUCUGGCUUCCUGGAGAAAGGAGACAAACAAAUUCAUUCGCUUUUAUGUAUUAAAAACAAAAAUAAAUAAAAAUAAAUGGAGGACUUAGAAACCUUACCCUGUUGGGAGGCUGAAGAGAACGGUGGCGACCGGAGUUGGAUGCUUUGAAGCGAACUUGUUUGAAUGCGGAAUUUCAAUGGAGAGCUUUCUGCCGAGGAACGAGGUCGAUAGGUUGCAGGGUGUCGAAUUGCUGGGCUUUCUAAGGGAAGAGACUGAGAGAGCUGACAGGGUGAUGGAAACGGAGGUCAUGCUUAAUUAACACCCAAACCCAAACCCGACUGAGAUUAUGAUUCGGAUUUUGGUCCUCCGCCGUCUCUGCUUCAGAUUGGAGGGGAAACACCCAAAUAACUAACAGAUGAGCUCAACACUAUUAGAAAGCGGCAUGUCGUCUCCCGUCUAAUCACUUUUAUAAUUAUUAUUAUUAUUAUUUUAAAUGAAAUUGGGGCGGCUGUGCUCAAGUCUUUACAGAAUACAUGAGGAAACGUAAACCCUGAACCCCAUAUUACAUGAACAUAUUGAAACAAUACCAAGAUUCUUCAUCAAACCUAUGUACUCCAAUUAGCAAAGGGUGCACGAAUGGCUACUCUAUUUGCUUUGUCACAACGGAGUGGCUUCCUUUCUUUCAUUCAUAAUAGUUAGGGUGUUUCUCUGUUCUGUGAAUCUCACUUUUGGGUAAUUUAUAUAUGAGAUGUAGUCAGGAGCUACAAUGGCCGAUCUUUAACAAAUUUGGAGAGAGAAAAUGACAGUGAUUGAGAGAGAAAAUGAUGAUUAAAAAAUCAAAAAUCCCCUUUUACAACUAAGGAAUCACUGAGAAAAGAUUGAAAAGGUUGAGAAAUAGGUUGAGGAGGCGAGGAUAAAAUAAUGGCGUGAAUUUCAGCGUCUCUAACAACGGCUUCCACAAACCCACCAAUUUUUGGGUCGCUGUGGUAGACGGUGUCGAGACCGUCUCAAGGACUAUAGAGCAUUAAAAAUAAUCUUUGUUUCUACCAAACACCGGCUAUGUCUUAUUAUACAACAUACUCCAAUCCAAUCCUGUGUAGUCCCGCACAACAAACACGAACCCCCUUAGGGUUUAGUUACGACCACAUGUGCAGUUCUUGAUUUGUGCUUUCUUUAGUACAGUUGCAAGGGCAAUAUGAAAUGAAUUUCCAGAAUUUAAGACAUCCAUAUAGCCAAAAAUAUAAAUAAAGCAAAAGAAAGUAACUUGAGGUCAAUCCGUGCAAGACGUAAGUUAGGAUCAAGGAUAAACUCGGCCAACUGGGUUGAUACCUUUUAUUUUUGCUUCUAAAUGUUCUCAAGCUUGUUGAAAUAAAUGUGCUAUAAGCUGCUUCCAACAGUAGAUGUACUUUUGAUUAUUAGGGUCUGAGGUGCAGCUAUGACUAUUAGUACUCAUAGCAAGUAACUCUGUAUUGUCGGCCCCAUGGGCAUUUUACUCCUUGUACUGUUUGUUGAGCUAUAAAACAAAUCGACUACUUGACUAAAAAGAAAAAAAGAAUAAAGCAAAAGCAAGUAACUUGAGGUCAAUUUACAAAAUAAAAAACACUCAAAUUGGCAUAUUUAGGACAGCAAAGCCAAAAACCAAGUAAAAUCUCUGACAACACCUUCACAUAAAUUCCUCUCCAAACUCUACUGAAAUCUCUCAUUACACCAUUAUGUACUUAACAGACAUUUAGGAUCAGUGGAUCCAUCAACUACAUCAGAAAGAAUAUUAAUCAAUCUUCUACAAAAUGCCUCUACUUCACAAUAUUUAGAGAAAUCAACCCACUUACUGCAUGCUACUAGAAGUUUAAGGUACAAAUGCAGGAAAGAGGACAUCCCUCCCAACAAACUAGAAUCAAUGUAAACAACCAGGGAAUGAACUCUGCAUUCUACGGGAUCAACUACAUUUGGAUCAUGUGGACACUGGCGGAACUAUAUUGAGACCAAGGAGUGCCAUGGCACCCCUUUAAUUUUUUAAACUUGUGUAUUAGGCUUUACUAAUCAAGGAAUUUGACAUAAUUAGAUGUAAAACUUUCUAAUUUAGAGGUUUCCCGCCCCCCCCCCCCCCCCCCCAUUCAUUUCCUAUUAAACUAUAAACACCAUUUUUUGUUACUAAGUUUAAUUUAUCCAAUUUAUUUCUCCUACCUUAAUCAACUCUUGCCAUAUCAUAUUUAAUCAACUCACCAUAAUGAAUAAUUUUUUUUUUAUCAUUCUAUUAUGUCCAAAUACUUUAUAAUUGAUUAACUUAUUUCAGUUAUUUCUCUAUGUAUUUAAUGAAUUCUAAAUUUCAUAUUUUGUUUUCAGUUUAGUAACUUUUUUUUUGAACUGUCCAAUACACAAAAGUUAAUUACCUUUUGAUAUUGUAUAUAUUUAUAUACAAUUAUUUAAUUUUUGAAUACUAUGUAUUUUCACUUUAUAACUCGGCCCCCUUAAUAUAUAAUCCUGUCUCCGCCCCUGCAUAUGGAGCAUGGCUAAUGUAAUCAUUCCAUCUUAAAGGGGCCAAAAUGACUUCUACCAGGGCAUUUAACUUAACCUUAGAGGAGGCAAUUUGACUGUCUUGCUUGAAUCCCAUAACACUCUCAUUAGGCCAAUCUUUGUUUCAGCCUCCUAAAACGAACCACCUAUGGCUAUAGAAGGGUAUGAAACUUGUAAACUAUCAUUAACACUCUCAUUAUGUACCAUUCUCAUUAUGUUGAAAGCUUAUAUUUCACACUAUAUUCAGUAGAAAAGUGAAAUGCAUCAAGGUUGGAAACCUAUUUAAAUUUCUUACCAGCCAUCUAGGGGACUCAGGAACAUACCAUAGACCAACGAGAAAGACAAUGCAGGCAAUGAUUCCUUCAUAUCAAAACCCAACAAUCAGUCCAUCAACAAGUUUUGCCAUUUUUUAAUCAGGAAAAACAAAAUAUUACCAGUCAUAGCUAGUGUCCUCCAACGUAUAAUUGUUCCCAUUACAAAUGAAACUGAUGCACUACUAACAAUCACGAGCUGCAGAACACGCAUACGAAAAAGAAGAAGUCUGUUAAUGAUCAUUUAUAGUUCUAAGUUAGGGCCAACCGUGUACAAAGAUAUCAAAGCUCAUAUCUGCCCUAUUAUACCUGAAACUGAAUUGCAUAAUAACUUAAGUCAAGAUCGUUUCACAAUAAACACAAACACAGUACUGUAGAAAUCAUAAACCAAUAGCUUAAAGAGUUUCCUAGUUGCUCUAGGUGAUUACCAUAAAGACCAGCAUCAAUUGGGGUUCCAUUCACGGUAGUCAUCUUCUCAGCAACACAACUGCAAUCUCACAAUACACAAAACCAAGGAAAAUCUUCUAUGCUAUACUACUUGUUUCUUCACAGAAUGGGACUGUUAUUUCUUUAGGAAAAACGUCGUUAGCAUAGGGACUUUCUAUUGGUAUAUAUAGUGGCCUAGAAACAUAACUCGUGCUUAUCCCAUAAGGAGUCCAAGUCACUUAAUGUUUAUCAGAUACAAGUCUUUAGGUUUAUCUCAAGAACUCAAUGUUGAUCAGGUUAAUCAACUUGAUAAGUCUCCAACUUUUAAUGAGAGACAUACACCUCAAUAGAUAACAUGAUAGAGUUUUACAUUUAUAUUUCUACUGAUUAUAUUCAAGUUAAUCUCAAAACUAUUUUAUAUAGACAAAGAUAAAUGCAGUGUCCAAUAUUAUUUUCCAACAAUCUCCCACUUGAACCAAGUUAUCUUUGUUCAUAGUAAUUGAGAUGUAAUCAGAAUUGUAACAGUUCUAAAGUGCGCAUUGAAAUAUAAGAACAACUCAUAACUUAUCCAGCUUGGUCAAUAUGCAGAAAUGAUGCAGAACCUAAGAUUGAAUUUAAUCAGAAGACUAAAUCAAUUGAAGAUCACUAACACCAGAUACUGCACACCACAUAAGCAUAGAAAGAUAAACAGAAUAGCAAAAUAGAAUAUGUCUACCUUGAAUUUCUUUUGCUCAAGUCCUCUGAAUGAUUUUGAAUAAACCAAAAUCUUGUCAGCAAGUUGUAGUACAGUGAACCUGUCACUUGCUUUUCUUAACCUGCAUAAUGGUUCACUUUAUAAUCUAUUUACACAUUCAUAUACAUAUAUAUACAUACUUAUAUAUAUAUAUAUAUAUAUAUAUUAAUCAUUCAGAAGAUAUGAAUUUUGAAAAUUGAACUUUAUUGAUGAAUAAGAUACAAUGGAAUGAAAUGAUCCUAAAAAUUGAAUAGAAAUCUACUCAUGAUGAGAACUAAAAUCCUAAAAAUGAAAAGGUGACUCCCACAGAACUCAGGCAUCUAAAUCUGAGAGAACUCCCAGAUUUUCAACAUGUUUCUGAAAACAUCCAACUGAUAAAGCUUUAGUGAAUGGAUCUGCAAGUUGAUCUUCUGUGUCAAUAUUGAGUACUUCUAUGUCACCAAAUUCAACCCUUUGUCUCACACUGUAGUACUUAAGGUCCAAGUGUUUUGAAUUGUUUGAUCUUUUGUUGUUCUUGGCAAAGCAAGCAGCUGCUUCAUUGUCACAGAACAUCUUAAGUGCUCCCUGAACUAUGAAUUUUAGAGCUUCAAUCUGUAUCAAAAAAUUCCUGAUCCAUAAGCCUUCAUAGACUCCUUCAUACAAAGCUAUGGACUCAGCUUGCAUUGUGGAUGUGGUGAUUAAUUUCUGUUUCAUGGUUCUCCAUGUCACAACACCUCCUGCAAGCAUAAAAACAUAGCCACUUGUGGACUUCAUGUCAUUAGGAUAUUCACCUGCAAAAUCUGAAUCGGUGUAACCUAGUAACUCAAGCUUUUCAACUUUUUUGUAGACUAGCAAGUGAGACUUAGUUCUCUGUAGAUAUCUUAAGACUUUCUUUCCUGCACACCAAUGUUCAUGACUAGGAUUUGAUUGAUACCUAGAUAGAAUGCCUACAGCAAAAGCCAUGUCAGGUCUGGUGCAGACCUGCGCAUACAUCAAACUACUAAUUAACCCUGCAUAAGGCUUACUGUCCAUAAGCUUGUCACCUUCAUACUUCCCCCCAUUUUUAGUGAUUUUAGUGAGCUUAUCACCCUUAGACAUAGGGACUGGACCAGGAUUACAAGUUUCCAUAUGAAAACGUUUCAGAACCUUACAGAUGUAAGCAUUCUGUGAUAUACCUAAAGUUCCUUGUUUCAUGUUUCUCUUAAUUUCAAUCCGCAAAACAAAAUGAGCUUCACCUAGGUCUUUCAUAUCAAACUUGCUAGAUAAAAAGUCUUUUGUGGCUUUUAGCAGUUUCAUAUCAGUGCUGGCUAACAGGAUAUCAUCUACAUAUAAGAUGAGAAAAAUAAAAUUCUUCCCAACUGUCUUUAGGUAUACACACUCAUCAACUAUAUUUUCUGUAAAACCAAAAGAUGAAAUUACUGAAUGAAACUUCUUGUACAAUUGUCUAGAAGCCUGCUUAAGUCCAUAAAUUGAUUUUUGAAGUUUGCAUACAUAGUUUUCCUUUCCAGGUUCCACAAAACCCUCAGGUUGCUUCAUAUAGAUUUCUUCUUCUAAUUCUCCAUUGAGAAAUGCAGUUUUAACAUCCAUUUGAUGAAGUUCCAUAUCAAAAUGUGGUACUAGAGCCAUGAUAAUCCGAAAGGAAUCUUUAGUGGAUACAAGAGAAAAAGUUUCAUUAUAAUCUAUUCCUUCUUUUUGUGUGAACCCUUUAGCCACAAGCCUAGCUUUAUGUCUCUCGACGUUUCCUUUCUCAUCUCUUUUUGUUUUAAAAACCCAUUUACACCUAUGGCUUUAUGUUGUGGAUUUGGUUUUACCAGUUUCCACACUGAAUUUUGUCUCAUGGACUAAAGUUCAGCUUCCAUGGCCAACUGCCACUGUUGUUGAUGAUGUUCAUCUUCAUCAGCUUGCCUAUAGGUUUCUAGAUCAUUGUCUUCUGCAAGAAGCUCAUCCAUUUCUUGCAAAUAGACAAUGUAGUCACUGUUUUCAUCAUAAGUGGGUUUUCUUUGUCUUUGGGAUCUUCUAAUUGAUGGUUCAGCAAUUUCUGGUUGUUCUGCAGUUUCUAGCUCUAUGUUUUCAUUGUUUUUAGCUACAACAUGAUCAUUUUCUGCUGGUUCUUCUUAUACUACAAUUGGAUUUUGAUCUAUGUUUUGAGUUUGCAUAUUUUCUGAAUUUGUGGUUUGAUCAUGCAGUAAGGGUAGAUAAGCUUUUAACGUUUCAUCAUUUGAGACUUCCUCAAAAUCUGAAGAAAGAUCUUCAAAAACUGAGUUAUGUAUAGUCUCAUCUAGGAAUUUUGCUUGACCUGUUUCAAAAAUCCUUGGUGAAUGUUUAGUUGCAUAAAACUUAUAACCCAUUGAUUUUUCACAAUACCCUAUAAAAUUGCAACUCACUGUUUUGGACCCCAAUUUUUCAGUUAACUCAUUUGGUAUUUUAGCUUCGGCCUUGCAUCCCCAUACAUGUAAGUGGUGCAGGCUUGGCUUUCUGCCACACCAAGUCUGAAAAGGUGUUGUUUCUACAGCCUUGCUAGGUGCUCUAUUGCAAAUAUAUUUUGCAGUUCUUAAGGCUUCACCCCACAAGAAUUUAGGUAGACCUGAGGUGCACAUCAUGCUUCUCACCAUAUUUAGGAGUGUUCUAUUCUUUCUUUCUGCUACUUCGUUUUGUUGAGGGUUGUAGGGAUUAGUGUACUGGGCCUUAAUGUAUGUUCCUGAAGGUAAAUAGCAAAAGAUCCCUUUUGCUGGCCUGCCUCAGUAUAUCUACCAUAAAAUUCCCCUCCUCUAUCAGAUCUCACAUUUUUAAUUUUUCUUUCAAGCUGUAUCUCCACUUCAAUUUUGUAAAUUUUAAAAGCUUGGAGUGCUUGUGAUUUUUCUGAUAAUAAAUAGAUGUAGCAGUAUCUUGAAUAGUCAUCUGUGAAAGUUAUGAAGUAUGUGUUUUUACAUAUAGUUUCAUGCCUAAGGGGUCCACAUAUAUCUGUGUGUAUAAGUUCUAAGAGACUUUGGCUUCUUACUGCAGUUUUGUUGUGUUUGUUAGCCAAUUUUCCCUUAUAGUAUUCCACACAUUCAUUUAGAUCAUUAAAGUUAAGCUCAUGUAGAGUCUUAUUUUUUAUAAGUGUUUUAAGCCUGUCCUUAGAAAUAUGCCCUAAUCUUCUAUGCCAUAAAAAUGCAGACUUAUCAUUAUGAAGUGAUCUUUUAACACCAACAGUAGUGUUAUUCUUAAGUGUGCUUUCAUUAUUUUCAAUUAACAUAAUAUCUGGUUUUGCAACAAAACAAUUUAAUUGUAAAUAAUCAUUAACAAAAACACCACAUCCAAGAUAAUCUGAACCUUGAAAAAAUUGUAAUUCAUUAUGAUCAAUGAUUAGUUUGCAUCGCAACUUAACUAGCAAAGAAAUUGAAAGCAGAUUCCUUUUAAGGGAAGGAAUAAAGAAAACAUUAUAUAGAAAAAGACUUUUAUUUGAACCUAAAUCCAACUGAAGUGAGCCAAUGGUUUUAACAGCCACCUUCAUGCCAUUUGCCACGCAAACUGUAUUCUCAUGCCUUUGAGGUGCCCUCCUGCUUAGCAAACCCUACAUUGAGUUGGUUAUAUGAAUUGGUGAGCCUGAAUCCAACCAAAAUGAGUUUGCUUUCACAUUUAUGAAGUUUACUUUCAGAGCAAAUGCAGUUUUAUCAAACAAAGAAACAGAAUAAUAACCAAAAAAAUUACUGAAAUCAAUUAAAGAAUUAUAGCUCUUACCUUUCUUCACCAUCCACCUUUUGAAGCCGUCGCAGUUCUUCUUGAUAUGGCCAACCUUUUUGCAGAAGAAACAUUUCACUUUCUGCAAAUUUUCAGUAGCAGCAGCAGGGAGGCAAGCCUUCUUCCCAUCUUUUUUGAAUUUGUUCUUCUUUGGCCUGAGGGUGAUGUCCCUCUUUCCCUUGUACUUUCCUACAAGGUUGACAGAGGUAGCUGGUGCCUUCUCCUUCUGAUCCUUCAAUAUUCUGUCUUGUUCAUUAACGCAGAUGGAGAUCAGUUCAUCAAUCUCCCAUUUUUCCUUUUGGGAGUUGUAGUUACUCUUCAAAUUUCCAUAUUCAGCAAGAAGAGAUUCAAGAGCUAUAUGCACCACCUGUGCAUCAUUAACCCCCAUUUGUAGGUCCCUCAGCUUGUUGUUAAUUUCUUCUAACUGCAUCAGGUGAGUCCUGAUGUUUCCUGUGCCGUUGAACUUCAGUUCAUGUAGCUUUCUUGAUAAUCUUGCCCCUUCUGCCUUGCUACAUUCCUUGAACUUCUGCCUUAUGGCAUCCAUGAAGUCAAUAGCCAGCUCUAGUUCCACCAUACAGCUCCUGAUAGUAUCUGAGAUGGUCCCUCUGAUGACAUUCUUUGCCAUCCGGUUGGCUCUCCACCAAUCAUUGUAGUAUUUCCUGUCCGCAGCAGUGCUGUCCUCAUCAAGCUCCUCAGGCUGCUCUUCAUUAAGGCACAUAUCCAUGUACAUGUAAAAUUCAACUUGAUUACGCCAUUUCUGAAAGUUCAAUUGUAACACCUUGACCCGAUUCAAUUCAAGAAUAUAGUUCCUAAAAUUCACUAAUUUCCUUCAAAACUCGAUUGAAUUUAGAAAUAACAAUACCAGACAUAACCUGACAUGAGAACCGAGUCUGAAGUAUCUCACCUCAUGUACAAUCAAUCGUAGCCGGAAUAUCCACCAUUUGAGUAUUCAAAAUGGUGGCGGCACCGCAAUGAAGAGAGGAAUUGGAUGAGAUCUUCCCGUCCAUCCCGUGGCUUGACUGAGGCAUCUUAAAUUUAGAAGCCUUGAAGCUUCCCCUCGUUUUCUGGAAGCCUCUUCUCCUUUAAGUUCCCAUUGAUAGUGGUCGGUGAGAGAGAGGUGUGAUCGAAUAUGCCGGUUGUCUCCAUCUCUCUCUUCUUCGAACCAUGUUCCCCUUCUCUUUCCCCUAAGAACACAUUCCAGGAGAGUCUCCCUUCUGAAUCCAGGAUAUAGAUGAGAAAUAUAAAAAAAUAAGAGUCCCCGAUCCAGGUCAGUGUCCUCUCCCUCCCCUUUCUCGACCCUUCUUCUCUCCUUUAAUAUAUUCUUUUCUUGUCUUCUUCUCUGGUCAGUCAAAUGUUCCACACCCUUCUCUUCUUUUCUAGAUGAAUCUCCACUUAUAACCCAAAUCCAAGAGUAAAGAUUAAUCAUAAAUCCAACAGUAGAGACCAAAUUCUGAAAGAUCCCGAUGGGGAGGGGUCUUGACCUUAACAUGCUCUAGGCCCCGGAGUGGUGAUCCACCCUGACCACCAUUUUUGUAACUAAAAAAAAUAUUUCUGAAAGAUCCAACGGUCCACUAUUCCAUUUAUUUUAUAAUUAUAGUUUCCUAUAGUUUUAGAAUUUUAAGUAUAUAAAUCGACUGUCUAGAGAAUUUACGAGAAUUUUCGCAUGCUCGGGUCGAUACAAAGCAUUAAUUACACAUCCUAUUAUAAUUUAUUUCUCAUUUAAAUAACUUACUUUUAUCCUCUCUAUAUACACAUACAAAAUCCUAUAUAUUCAUUUAUUUGUAAAGUACUCAGGGUAUUACAUCAGUCCUGUGAGCAAGUGGAUCUGUCCUAGUGUCACCACCUCAACUCCUAAAAUGAUUAAAAUCAAUGCAAAUGAGUUUCAAAAUUCAUGCAUAUAUAUAUAUAUAUAUAUUUGAAUAUGUGUAUAGUACUGCAGUAUACAUUUCAGCUUAUAUAGUCAAACAUGUAAGUUUAGCUACUAAAAACAUAUUUAAAAGUCCCAUAAAGUUCAUACCAGAUAACACCUUUGUGGUAUAAAAUCUGAUAUCUUAAUAUUCCAAAUGUAUUACCAUAAUCAUGUACUCUUAGAUAUAUGUUAAAAACAAUCAAUAUCUUUGGUAGGAUAAAGAAAAGUCUCAACAUAUCAGAAGUAAAAAUACAGAUCAUGCAAGACACUAUUAUUUGAAAUAAAAUUGUACAUGUAAAUAUCUCUUUGGAGACCACAAGACAAUACAGCUUUAUAAACAAUAACACAAGUUUUAAUUCUUUCUUCAGCUCUCUAAACAUGAUAGUAAAUGUUAUUUUGUGCAACAUAAUUAAUACCACAUCUAGAGUUUUAUGAAUCAUUGAAGUUUAAGAUUUAGGUUUCAGUUUAAGAAACAUCAAAACUUCAUUUUAUGAAUGCAAAUAUGAGGCUAUAACCAAAUUGGGAGAAUUAUAUAUCCUUUCUGUAUUUUGCAUUCAUACAGUAUGCACUUUAGUAGUCUUAUGCAUCAUUUGAUCAAUUUGCAUACGAGAUCAAAGUUUAUUCAUGUAUAUAGUUCAUCAUAUGAAUUAAGUUCUUAACUAUGAUUGAUAUAUGCAUAUGGGUACACGAAUUCAAAACCAUCACCACAGUAUUCCAAUUUCGUAUUCCCAAAUUUCAAACAUAGAAUCAAUGAAUCUCAUAAGAACUAAAUUUAGGUCUUACCUCGGCAUCAGCAUCAUUCAUCUGCAACAAAAAUUCAGCGGAAGCAAAACGAAAAAAGCACAGCCAAUAAGUCCUAAUCUUAUUCUAAGUUUUCUGGGUUUGAAUCCCAUCUGAGGUUAUUAGCCUCAUAUGCCAAGGUUAUCCGUUCCAAAUAAAAAACAAAAGAAACAAGUUGGGUUGUAAAACCGGGUUCUUAAUGGACUCGGGCUUUAGGCUAAAACUGUAGGCCCAAAAACAAGAACAAUGAAUUUCCUGUACUGGUUUUACUGAUUCAAAACUUUAAUCGAUUUGUGAAAUUGUGAAGAGCCAUUGGCUCUGAUACCAUAUAUUAUACCUGAAACUGAAUUGCAUAAUAACUUAAGUCAAGAUCGUUUCACAAUAAACACAAACACAGUACUGUAGAAAUCAUAAACCAAUAGCUUAAAGAGUUUCCUAGUUGCUCUAGGUGAUUACCAUAAGGACCAGCAUCAAUUGGGGUUCCAUUCACGGUAGUCAUCUUCUCAGCAACACAGCAACACAACUGCAAUCUCACAAUACACAAAACCAAGGAAAAUCUUCUAUGCUAUACUACUUGUUUCUCCACAGAAUGGGACUGUUAUUUUUUUAAGAAAAACGUCGUUAGCAUAAGGACUUUCUAUUGGUAUAUAUAGUGGCCUAGAAACAUAACUCGUGCUUAUCUCAUAAGAAGUCCGAGUUCACUUAAUGUUUAUCAGAUACAAGUCUUUAGGUUUAUCUCAAGAACUCAAUGUUGAUCAGGUUAAUCAACUUGAUAAGUCUUCAACUUCUAAUGGGAGACAUACACCUCAAUAGAUAACAAGAUAGAAUUUUACAUUUAUAUUUCUACUGAUUAUAUUCAAGUUAAUCUCAAAACUAUUUUAUGUAGACAAAGAUAAAUGCAGUGUCCAAUAUUAUUUUUCAACAUGCCCUAUCCUCCGCAGAGAUAUUUAGGUGCCAUUUGUGCACCUAAAUAUCAAUUCUGGAGAGCUGAAAGCAGAGAGAUAAUGGAAAUUGAUAGAGAUUGAACUUGUCUGUAGUGUAGUUGGGUUUAGGUUGAAGGUUUUGUGCAUGGCCCACCGUGUAGUCGUGUACGAUGCGGUAUCCGAACCAGGAGAGGGAGAGGAGCUCUGGUACAAAAUAGGCCGGUUGAUACCAGCAACCCCUUUCUCUUCAACUGUGACGGUCCUGUACUUACAUUUCACGGAAUUUCAGUUCGGCUGGGAUUUGUGAGGGAGGUCGAACCGAACUAGGAUGAUCGAAGAUGUCAUGAGCACGCCUAUGAUGACAUGAUGUCGUUGAUCGAAGAAAUUGAACCGACCAUAUCAUCAUGAAUUGUUAUAUGCUGUUGCCCUCGGUGGAAGUGGAAGUGGAAGUGGAAGUGGGUUGGUGAAGUUAAGCUAUCUCGUGUUGUUUACCCGUGUCCUUGGCCCGCGUACAUUCAUCAUCAAUUCAUCAUCAUAUUUCUUCCACUUAUUUUGUCCUAGCUUACCAGCCUUCCAGUACCAACUCGAUCAAGCUCUGUAAUUAAGUAUAAAUAGGCACAAGUGUCGAAUGGGUUUGAAAUGCUCCAACUCCUCCUAAUAUAACUGAAUGGCCGCGUUGGCGUUUGAGAACUACUACUGCAACUCGGCCGUGCGAUCACAGAGGCCAGUUGUAGUAGUAGCUAUGUUGGCCUUAUUUUUUACAACAACAGUUAGAGUCGUGGACGGAGGAGCAGUCGACGAAUGUGCCCAGCAGCUAGUAGGGAUGGCGACGUGUCUGCCUUACGUUGGGGGUGAAGCCAUGGCUCCAACACCCGACUGUUGCAGUGGUCUGAAACAAGUCCUCAACAACAACAAAAAGUGCCUCUGUGUCAUCAUUCAAGAUCGCAAUGACCCUGAUUUGGGCCUACAGAUCAACGUCACUCUUGCUUUGGGCCUGCCCUCCGUCUGCCACGCCGCCGCUAAUGUCUCCAAGUGUCCAGGUAAUUGAUUUGGUAAUGGAUUUUGUGUGUGUGUCUGACUAUGAGAUUGGUUUCUGAGCUGAUUAUUAGAUGCAUUUAUACACGCAGAACUUCUACACUUGGAUCCCAAAUCACCAGAAGCUCAGGUGUUCUAUCAAUUACAGAACAACUCAACGCAAGCCGCCGCCAAUAGUCCUACCCCAACUCCAACUCCAAGUCGUACGUACUAUUUAUAUGCCACCACAAUACCCAUUACUUUUGUUGAGAUUAAUUUUGUCGAUCAUUUUGAGGGUUAUGACCUACAUCUAUCGAUCAUAAUUCGUAAUUGUCUCGCAAUGUACAGCGGCUGAAGGUCCCCUAAGUGGCAUAAGUUCGAGCAGCUGGGCAGCUCGAGAGCGUGGUGGCAUGGUUUUGGUCGGAGAGUGGAACUCUUGUUGGGGCUUCACCUUGAUGAUAUGUGCGGUUUUGGUCAUGUUCAUCUAGAUGCUUGAAAUGGAUUGUACUCUUUUGUUUUUUGUUUUUCUAAUUAAGUAAUGGGCUGUACUCUUCUAACAGAGAAAUAAAGAUAAAAAUUAAUUAUACCAGAUUACCAGUAAACAGUAAAAGUUACAUAAAUAGCUCAUCUUAAAAAAUGGUACGACAAACACGGAAGCCUUAGUUAGUCUAAAAUCAAGAUAAAUAAUUCAUAGGCAACCAAGCACCAAAUAUGACGCUAUAACUUCGUCUAGUCAAUUAUGUUAUGGAAGUAGGACUAAAAGAAGUCUUAGGGCCAGUUUGGGAUUGCUGUGCUGUGAGAGGAAUUGCUUCUGAAGUUGCUAUGAGAAGAAUCACUUCUAAUAUUGCUAUGAGUAGAAUCAGUUGAGGUGUUUGGUAAACUGCUUUUAAAAGUGCUGUGAGAACCAAAAAGCAAUUUCGUGUGUUUGGUAAGUUAUAAGUAAAAACUGUUUUGGAUUGGUAUAAUGACAAAAAUGGGCAUUAUUAUAAAUUGAUAUUAAAAUAAAUAGUUGUUUCUUUUGUAUGUAACUGAAUUAUAAAAUUAAUCCACGAUAUUACAUAAGAUUUCUUAACAUCAUACUCAAAUGAAGUUCUUAAAUAAUAUACAAAAGACUAGUGAAGCCAUUUCAAAAGAUACAAAUUGGAACAUCCAAAAGAUGCAUUUCAAAUUGAGGCCAUUUCAAAGUUCUUAAAUAAUAUACAAAAGGCCAUUGCAUUACAAAAGUGAAGCCAUUUCAAAGUUCUUAAAUAAUAUACAAAAGGCCAUUGCAUUACACAAAAUAUAGUGAAGCCAUUUCAAAUUGGAACUAAAUGCUAAAUAGAUGCAUUCAUUAAGCUUUGUGCAAUGGUGUUUCUUAACACCUCCAUUUCUUGUCUUCCCUUCCCAUCUUCUUCAUGUUCAUUGUCCUCCAUAUCUUCACUUUGGAAAUCAUCACUUUCAUCAAAAUCAUGAUCUUGGUGAGCAUACUUUCUUAUGUAGUUAUGAAGAGCCAUUGUAGCAACAACUAUCUUCACUUGUUUUUCAUAAGGAAAGCUCGGCAUAUCACGUAAAUCACUCCACAUUUUUUUUUUCCAUACCCCAAAAGUGCGCUCAAUAAUACCCUAAGUGAAGAUUGUGCAUGAUUAAAUAUUGCUUUAUGAUCCGUUGGUUCAUCAUCUCUACGAAAAUGUGGAAGGUGAUAACUCUCAUGUCACAUCCCAACCCUUAAAUUUUUACCUUAUUUACUAGCUUGGUAUUAAUAAGAAUUUUACCGUCUCCGUUAAUGAGAUUAUAGUUUAUUUGGUCCCUAGAGGGGUUUUGAGGGACGAUUAUUGCGGAGGAAUUAUUCGUAGGAGGAAAUGUGACGACGGUAAAAAUAGUAAAUGACACGACCCACCCCGAAUUUCACCCUGAAACCCAGAGUAAGUCGUGCGGGGACCACCUCCAAGGAAAAUUUACUGAAAAGUUUAAGAAAAUCUCCCUUGCAGAUGGACAACCCUAAAUCGAAAAUUUCAUAUUACACUCUUAAUUUAUCACUUCUGAACAUCGCAUAAUAUACAAAAAUUCUAAAGUAUUCAGAGCUACUAAACACAAGCGGAAGCAAGAAAACACGAGUAGGUUGAACAGGUAACCUACUGGCGAAAACUGGCAGAAAAGCGGGUGACUAUGCCUCGUCUCCUACUAGAUCCAACCCGAACUCUGCAGACUGGGCAAUUUAAAACGAAUGGCCCAGGGGAAAACAUUUAAUAAUGUUAGAGUGAGUGGACAAAAAUAAAAUAAUAAAUAAAAUAUUUAUGUUUCCCCAAAUUAAUUUCUAAGGAAAAAUCGAAUGCAUGCCGCAAGCGAUAAAACUUUUAUCUCAUAAAAUAUCGAGCCUCUCAGACUCUAUAAUAUAUGUAUGUAUUUACACUCGUCCAUACUCCCUAUAUAAAUUCAUGGGUCUAUAUAGGCUACUACNNNNNNNNNNNNNNNNNNNNUCUGCUCGAGCCUCCUCACGUCCUGUUCCAAAUAAAAUAUUAAUUUCCCAACCAAUAAUCCCAUAUUUAAUCAAAAUAGGCAAAAUUACCCGAGAGCCAUAAAUACGCUCAUCAUCGCUUAACUUCGAUGUUCUUAAAUCGGAACGAUCCGAACUUAAUUAUCAUACUCAACAGUCGUAAAUACCACCUCCUCAAAAUACGACUUAAAACCUACGGCCGGAUUCUACAUUAAUUAACCGCCAAAAAUAUCAAACUUCGGAAAUUCACAAACCUAUCCAAAUCUCAUCCAAAAAUUCCAUAAAUCACACCAAUAUACUCCUCUUAAUAUUCCACAUUUAAAACCCUAAAAAUUUCCUAACCGGCGGCGGCCGGCAGCCGUUUUCCGGCGACCUGCAAAUGCUACCAAAUUUUAACAGAAUCUUCCUCUCAAUCUCCUCUACAACUUUCAUGACCAACACAUCACCCAAUUCCAAGCCUAACUAGGCUAAUCGAACGAAAAUAACUUAAAAGCCUAGAAAUUUCAACUCCACAUUUCUCCUUACCUAGCUCAAGAGGGAGGGAGCUGUUUGGAGGGGUUGUUGCACGGGAGGAGGGCUACAAAACCGUACCAAGCUUGCCCGGAUUGGUGGCCGGAGGAGGAAGUUCCGGCGAGAAAACCGAUUCGGCAGUCGGAGCUUUCGGGUGGCACCGCUCUCUCACGGCGGAGCUAGGGCUCCUCUCACCGGUCUAGAAAUGUUGCUGGGAGGGAGACUGACCGAACGGGACCGGUCCGGCGGCGAACGGAGGUCGGACGGCGGCGGAAGGGCGGCCGGAAACUCUUCUGGGUGUAGAGAGGAGAAAACCGGGUGGGAGGAGAGAAAAUCGGGAGAGAGGGAGAAGAGAAAAGAAGAAGAAAUGGGUUGGGCUCGGCCCAGCCGACCCAACACUCCUUUUAACCCAAAAUUCCAAAAUUCAACACCCCGAAAAAUAAUACCCGAAUAAAAAUUACCUUUUACUAGCUAAAAUUUACUAUUUUUACCGUCGUCGUAUUUUCCCCAUACGAAUUAUCCUCCGCACAUAAUCAUCCCCGAAACCCCUCUANNNNN
This 53915-nucleotide long non-coding RNA is filed under the name Fragaria vesca (wild strawberry). RNAcentral's name for it is "long non-coding RNA (FVES_LNC003467)". Lineage: Eukaryota; Viridiplantae; Streptophyta; Magnoliopsida; Rosales; Rosaceae. The record is from RNAcentral.